ACUAAACCUUUUUAAUUCCCAAUCUUAGUUAUUUUAGGAAAAAUGUGAACAUGGUGCUAGUCCAUGGAAUUCACACUUUGUACCUUACCAAGUCGUUGGUGGAGCGUGUGUGGUUAACCGGCACACUAACUUGGACUAGUAAGGAUCACGAAGGGUGACUUAAUGUUUGUCAUAGAUCAAUGGAGCGUGUGUGGUUAACCGGCACAUUGAUUAGGUGAUAAUAUUAAGGGUACCAAGUGAAUUGGUAUGGUUAUUCACACCUUGUUUUGUGAUCCUCGGCAUCCCAGUCACAAAAUUUGAGAGGGCACACUCGAGAUUGAAACAUGCCAUUGAAAAGUUCAAUGAAUCUCAAAAGAUCUAGGAAUUUCAAAUCCAAUUAAAACCUAAUAAAUUAUUUCGUUUUUCAUGGUGGAAAUUGGUGAAUCGUCAUUCGCCUACCUUCAAAUAUUUUAUAGCUUGGAUUACGGCAUCCCUCUUCCAAAUUAUAAAAUAUUGUGUUGGGUCCUAGCCUUAAUAUUUCAUAUUGGGUGUUAUAUUAAGGACUUUGAAUCAACUAACUUGAUUUUCUCCCAUUAUAGAUGUCUGGUUCAGACAACUAUGAUCUUCCCAAAUCUCUUGAAGAUGGUGUCCCUCAACAUCAUGCUUCACUUCCUCCACCUCCUCCAAUUAUUCUCCCUCACCCACAAGUUCUUGAAAAGUUUAAAGUCACUCAAUCCCUAUUGGCAAGCAUAGUCUAUGUGUGCUCACAUCUUGGAGAUAAAGUCACAUAUUGACAAGCCGGGAGAGUUGGGUGUCAAAGUCUCGUGAAAGUUGGAUGUUCAAUCACUUUCUUAGUAACAUAGUGAGUCUCUUUGGGACUACUAUGAGACAGACUAUGACAUGACCCUUAAUGAUGUUAUCUAUUUGCUUGGUGUUGUGGAAUCAGCAAUGAUUUGGAACACCAGUAAAGCAAAUUUGAUUAAAAGAACAACUUCCCAAGUCUUAAAUGGACAUUGACAAUGGUAGCAUUGGAUAUCUAGAAAAGGAUUUCUCUUCCCAAUGGAAAGGGAUCGGCCAUAGUCAACUCGGUUGACCAAAUGGUAAAGAGAAAGGCUAAGUCUGAGAUAGUCUCAUGUGCCAUUACCAAAGGGUCCAUGUGUUUUGUUGCCAAAGGAAGGGGCAUUGGUUGCGAAGCUGCCCUAUUCACCUGAAAGGUCAUAAGGUUGAUCAAGUCAAGAGGUUUGACUCUACUUCGGGUAAAGUCCACUGUCUAACUCUAUUAAGUUCCUAUUUGGAGAUUCUUAUUACAUAAUGUGAAUGGGUCACAUGCUGAUGUUUUUAAGAAUCAAAGAAAAGAUAGGAAGCUUAAAGUAAGUAUAUGUUGAUUCUGAUUGCAAAGGUGGGUUUCGAUCGCAUGGUUCGGCAAUCAGAAUUUUGAGCUGUUGCUUAAGAGUUAUAAUAUAUUGCUUAUGAAUAGAUAACAACAAGGUUUUCAUGUGGAUUGUAAGGAUAAGUUUUUCCGCAAAGUUUUAAAAUAAAAGAAAAAAAGGGUUUUAAUUUUAUUUAUUUUAAAAAUAUCCUUACAAUGGCAUCUGUGGAAAAUUGUUGCUUAUAUGUUUCCAGUAAUAGCAAUAUUGGAAAGUGGAUUUGAUUCUUUCAUUUGUGGUAGUGUCUGAAUUUACCAAAUGAAGAAAGUUUUUCAUCACCCAAGUUUCAAUUGGACAGAAACUUGGAAUCAUACAAGUUGUAUUGUAUGAUGAAUGAGAAUUUUCAUCUUUGAAAAUUAAGACUAAUUCUUUGAUCACAUGUAUAUGUGAGUCAAUUGAAGGACUAAGGAAUUAGGUACACUGGGUGUGCGCUGGUCAAGGUCCACCACAAAGAUUGAUUUGUCAUGAUUUACUAAAGAUUAGUAAAUAUGAUUAUACUUAUAAGGUUAAGUAUAAUUCUGUAACAUUGGAAAGGUUACAAUGUAUGACAAAACAAAUGAGAAGAAUCAAAUUAGGCAGAAAGAUAAAAGUUUCUCAAAUCUGAAAGGAUGGGAGAGUACUUUAGUAUCGUAUUUCAUGAUCAUCUUAAUGAUUAUGAAACCAUAUCACAAAUUCAUACUCUAAGGACGUCUUAGUGCAUUGUUAUGGCUAAGAAGAGAGGUCAUGAAUUGUUGGAUUGGUUAAAAUCAAGAAGAUGAGUCAUACUUCGUUCCAAAACAAUUCUUAGAGUCAUACUCCAAGAUUGUAACUUUGAGUGACAUAAAGGAAGAUUUAUUAACACUAGUCAAAUGUAAGAGUAAAAUGUUUUCUACUCUUGUACAUUUGAGAUUGGUAAGUUGUGAUGUCUUGGAUGAGACAAAGACCAACUAAGACCAAUUGUGUGAAGUGUUAGUCUUGAUAAGAAUCCGCACUAUCCCUUGAAUAUUUGUUUUGUCAAGGAAUGGUUCUUGACUGGGGAAACUUAUAUGUCAAGGGGACAGUGGGAGCCUUAAAGAUCCUGAAAGAGUUUCAAGAUUUAAUCAAGAGUAAAACCUGUAAUUUAUCACUAGCACACGACUUAAGGUUUGCAACCUAUCGUGUUGACAUAAUUCUUAUUUCUGUACCUACUUCAAAUAAGUUGAAUUUGCAUGUGAGUUAUCAGAGUUCAACUUGGAAGCAUUGGUGGGCCUUGUGCUACCAAGGUGACAAGAAACUAAGAUUGAACAAGUUUAAUCCAUGUAAGGCUGAAUUUGUCACUAACCUUAUCUUGUGAUUAUGGUUUUGACAAAUUCACAUGGAUAGGAACUCAUACACUAUAAAAUCUAAGUGUCAUAAGGUUUCUCUCCGAUUCAUGAAAAUGAUGGUGAGGAAACGCUUUCACUAAGUAGAUUUUACGUAGAUAUCAAUUGUGUUAUUUGCAUUUUCAAAAGUCGUUAGUGGAGCGCGUGUGGUUAACCGGCACACUAACAUGGACUUGUGAGAAAUGGCAAAUGCCUAAGCAAUUGAGACUAUGAUUACGGCAUCCCUUUUCAUAGUUCUGAAAAUUGUUUAGACACACAUGUGAGCUAUCUAAGAAAGGGUGUAUGAAUCUAAAUUUCAGAAGUCCAACAGAUUUCUGGAAAUGUGUCAGAGCUAGUGGGAGCAUAAGUGUUAUGCUGAUAAUCAUCAUGUUAGUGGGAGCAUGACUAUUAUGAUUAGUAUUGCAAGCUAGCAAUGUUAAUUAUAGAAAACAAAGUUUCAAUCCGUGAAGUUGCAGGGGUUGAAAAGUUGUUUUGCUAUAAUUAAGGGAGAGGAAAUUAUACUUCAUUUCAAUUCUAAAGCUUAGAUUGAGAUUUUAAUCAUCUUUAGUCAAGAAUAUAUAUAUGAAUUUUAUGUUGGAAUGGUUCAACUUGAAGAAAUUCUAUAUAUAUUGCGUUUUCAAAAUUCGAUUAUGAUUACGGCAUCCCUCUUCAUAGUUAAAUUUUGAAAACAUGGCAAAUAAAAAAUAUUGUAGCAAAAGACUGGUCUAGUAUCAUGUCUUUAUGUCAAACAUCAUGAAUCGUGUCCCAUAUGCUUCGGAUAUAGGAUCGAUUUCAUGUGCUAUAAUAUUCAUCCUUUCUAAAUUUUCCAAAUGCUUAAGGCAUUUAGAAGGGAAAAGUCUAGAACUGGAUAUGACUAAAGUGAUUAAGCAAUUGUCGAGGACAAUCUGAGGUUCGCCAAAGAUUGGUUGCUCAGGGACAUUUGGAAGUCUAGUGUUAAUUUUGGUAGGACCAUAUCGACAUUUUCUGAAAAGAGGUAACUCUUGUUCGGAAGUGAUAGUCAAAUAGGACUAUGGAAAUGUCUCCAUAGGUGGAAGUGAUUCAAUCUAUGUAAGAUUAGGAAACUUAAUGCAAAAAGGAUGUUCCCAAGGAGCUGAUCUCCUUUGGAAUGCUCUGUAAUGGUUGUUGUCAAGUCUUUCUGACUUUGUGCAUAAUCAUUACAAGAGGAUCAAUGCAUAUAAGUUUAGAAUCUAACAGAUUUCAGUAAAUGACAUAAAUUUGGAAUUCUUGCAUUUACAAUAAGGAUUUGGGAUUGUGAAAUGAGUAUCAUUGGAAUCAUGUUCAAUUGAUCUACAUCACAAUGUAAGGAUCAUAGACAAACAUAGUGUGCAUACUUGGGGUAUGGCAUAACUAUUGUUUAGAAAAACAAAGUGUACAUGCUAGGAGCAUGGGACGACUGUUGUUUUUAUUCAAGUCUUAAGUUGAUUAUUUGAAACAUUGAAUAAUGUGUAAUCAAUAUGGUGAUAAAUAAAAAGUGGUUUUAUUUAUAUUCAAAAGGGUUCUGAGACCAUAUUAGAUUCGAUUAUUAUUGUAUUUCACUUUGCAUGUUUUGACUUCCAAAAUAGCUAGGUUAUUCUUUCCGGAUGACUAAGUUAUUUAAACACUCCACAGUCGUUCAUAUGUUGGAAGUAGGUAUGAAUCAAGACUGUCAUGAAUCGGGUUUGUAGAUGGCUAAAUGAGUUUAGUCAUGGCAAUGGUUGCUACAACAUUCAUGAGUACUCAUAAGUUAUGAGUAUUGGAAUAAACCCACGCUCACUUGUAUCACUUCAUGGAAUUUAUCUCGAGUGAUCGUGAGACGAUAAUAUCAUAUAAAUCUUCAAACCUAGAGAUAUGAGUUGUUACCUAUGAGUUGGUUGUGCAUUGAUUGCACGUAAACGCAUCAGUAACUUGAUGUUAUAAAACGUGCCUUUGUGUACAAUUCAACAAGUAGUAGAACAAGCAUAUGAGUCGAAGUUUAUCUGCUCCUUCUAGAAAUAGAAGCGAUAUCUGGGCCCCUCGAUGAUUUUGUGUUGACCCAUGUACCGGGCCCGGUCAGAACUAAACUGAUGUGUUCAGUGAAGUUCUUAGUCAAACAAAUCGGAAAUCGAGAAACAACUGCCAGACAAUAAGCAAGACAUAGUUCCAUGUGUUUGUCCGGCUGAUAUCAUGAGAACAGAGGAUUAUAUGAUCACUUGUUUUAGAAUGGCGCUUCAUAGUUCAACAGGAAUUUUUUGUUCGAGGGAGUUUUCGAGAGCUACGAUUGUUGGUUGGUUCCUGAAGUUAUAGGCAAAUAUAGUUAUUAGACUUAUCCAAGUGGGAGUCUGUUGGAUAAGGUGUCUAAGUCCAUAACUUAUUUGGUAUAUACUUGACCCGACCGGCAUGGUCCAUUUGGGUUGCAUCUCAUCCAAACUAUUAUGGAUAAUUUUAUGAGAGUUAUACACAUAUGUUUAUUAAUAUAUUAUGAGUUAUAAUAUAUUAAUAUGAAGUUACGUUAUUUAAUUAGUUUUAGUCUUAAAUUAAUUAUGGAUUAAUUUAGAGAUUAAAAGGAAUACUAAUUAAAUUAUGGGCUAUUUGUUUUAUAUAGUGUGGGCUAAUACUCAUUUGUUAAUGGGCUAGGCUUAUGUGGAAGUCCAUGGAUGAUCCAUGGAGCUUUUAACCCAUGGAUCCUUGGAAUAGGAAAAGUCAUGGGUUAUUAGGGUUUCACCCUAACCAUGCACACUAUAUAAGCAUGCUUAUGGAGCAUGAAAUGGCAACUAGUGAACUAGUGUGUGUAAGCUUGUGUGUGGCCGAAAUAUACAAGUGUGUAUACUCUCUCAAAGUUUUCCAAGAGUUUGUGGUGUUUUGUGAUUCCAUUUGAGGCAUUCACACUAUUGGUGCUUGGCCCUCAAACUCCUCAAGAACCAAACUCAUCAAAAAGGUAUGUAAUCUCUUCUAACUCUUUUAUGUUGAAAUGUUCCCCAUGCCAUGUUAGAUAGGUUAUAAACCUUGGAAAAUUAUUAUUUUGCAUGUAUUUAGACAAACAUAGAUCCAAGGUUUACUAGGGUUGCAUGCACACUUAGGAAGUGUUAGAUUGCUCAAAACCCAAUAGGAGUAUAGUCAGCUUUCUAGUGUUGUAUGUUGAUGACAUACUACUCAUAGGAAACGACAUCCCAACUUUGCAGGAGGUUAAGUCCUGGCUUGGGAAGUGUUUCGCCAUGAAGGAUCUUGGAGAAGUUGCCUAUAUCCUAGGGAUAAGGAUAAUGAAAGACAAGAGUAAGAGACUGAUUGGACUUAGUAAGAGUACCUACUUGGAUAAGGUGCUGAAGACGUUCAGCACGCAAGAAUCCAAGAAAGGGGAAUUACCUAUCCAGAGUAAUGCCAAGGUGAGUAAGACUCAGAGUCCGAGUACAGAGCCUGAGAUAGCAGAGAUGAGUCGUAUACCAUAUGCUUCCGCUGUGGGCUCUAUCAUUUAUGCUAUGACUUGUACUCACCCUGAUGUGGCCUUUUCUUUAAACAUGGUGAGCAGAUAUCAAGGGAACCCUGGCAAGGCUCACUAGACUGCGGUAAAGAACAUUCUCAAGUAUCUGCGGAGGACUAAGGACUGGGUCCUUACUCUCGGUGGCAGUGAUGAUUUUAGAGUGGAAGGAUGUAGCGACGCUAGCUUUCAGACUGAUAGGGAUAAUUUCCGCUCUUAGUCAGGCUGGGUCUUUACCCUAAAUGGAGGGGCAUUUACUUGGAAAAGUUCCAAGUAGGAGAUACUAGCUGACUCUACUUGUGAAUCGGAGUACAUAGCAGCGAGAGAAGCAGCAAAGGAGGCGAUAUGGCUGAAGAACUUCAUUGGAGACCUUGGAGUUGUACCAGCUAUAAAGGAGCCAAUGGAAAUUUUUUGUGAUAGCGAAAGUAUAGUUGCUUUAGCUAAGGAACCAAGAGAUCACGGAAGAUCUAGGCACAUUGACAGAAAAUACCAUUUAAUCAGACAUUGAAUAGAAGAAGGACUCCUCAUGGCAAAGAGGGUAUCAUCAUAUGAGAACCCAACAGAUCCCCUCACGAAGGGACUGAGUAGGGUUAAGCAUUUACAGCAUGCGAGGCACAUCGGGCUGAAGGAUGAUAUUAGUUUCAAUAAUUAGAUUUCUGAAAUUUGUAAAAUGUAAUUGACAUUUUGAUGAUUAAAUAAAAGUUGUUAUUUAUUUAUGAGUAAAGUGUUACUAUCUUAUGUUAAUCGUUUACUAUGGUUUCAAUUUUGCAUGUUUUGACUUCCAGAAUAAUUAUUUUAUUCUAACUCUCCACAGUCGGUCAUAUGUCGGAAGUAGAUAUGAAUCAAGACUGUCAUGAAUUUGGUCUGUAUGAUAUGUCUAAAGGGUAUUAGACAUAGCAAUAGUUGCUGCAACAUUCAUGAGUGCUCAUAAGUCCUGAGUAUUGGAUUCAACCCACACUCACUUGCAUCACUUCAUGGAAUUUAUCUCGAGUGAUCGUGAGACGGUAAUAUCAUAUAAAUCUUUAAACCUAGAGAUAUGAGUUGUUGACUAUGAGUUGGUUUCCAUUGAUUGUACGAAAACGCAUUGGUAACUUGAUGUUAUAAAACGUGUUUUUGUGCAUAAUUCAACAAGUAGUCAGUACAAGCAUAUGAGUCGAUGUUUAUCUGUUCCUUCUAGAAAUAGAAGCGAUAUCUGGGCCCCUCGAUGAUUUGGUUUCAGAACCUAAUUGAUGUGUUCAAUUUAGUUCUAUUUCGAAACAAAUUAGAGAUCGAGAAACAAAUGUUGGACAAUAAGUAAGACCAUGUUCCAUGUGUUUGUCCGACUGAUAUCUUGAGAGCAGAGGAUUAUAUGAUCACUUAUCUUAAAUGGCGUAUCAUUAUUAUCUUAGUUCCGAGAGACUUUGAAAGAGCUACGAUUGCUAGUUGGAUCCUGAAGUCAUGUCUGCAAAUAUAGUUAUUAGACUUAUCCAUGUGGGAGACUAUUGGAUAUAGUGUCUAAGUCCAUAACUUUAUUUGGUGUGUACUUGACCCGACCCGACAUCGUCCAUUUGGGUUCCAUGGCAUUGCAAUACUUGGAUAGACUAAAUGAGAGAAAGGACACUUGUGAUUAUUAAUAUAUUAUAAGUUCUAAUAUAUUAAUAAUAGUAUUAUUUAAUUAGACUUGAUCAAGUAUUAAUUUAGAAUUAAUUUGGUGAUGAAAAUGAGACUAACUAAAUAUAUAGGGUUGAUUAUGACAAUCAUCUAAUCCUUUUAUGGUGGAUUUAUGAUCCAUGGUUUAUGGAGUUGGGUUAUAACCAUUUGGAGCUCCAUGGAUAGUUCAUGGGAGUUACAAACCCAUGGAUCAUUAGAAAUGAAGAGUCAUGAAAAUUAAGGGCAUUCAUGUGUAAACCCUAAUUGUGACAACACUAUAAAAGGAGCCCUAUAGCUAUCAAACUCGAACUACUAGUGAGUUCUAAGAGGGCAUAACCGAUUUUUGAGUGCAAGUGUAUUCUCUCAAGUUAUUCCAAGUCUUGUAGUGUUGUGUGAAGCAUUUGAGGCACAACAUUUGGGGUGCUAGGCUCACAAAGUCUUCAAGGAAUCCAAGCAACAAGAAAGGUAUUUACUUCUACUAGUUUUUAUAUUACAUAUUCCCCAUGCCAUGCUAGUUAGGAAGUAAACCUUGAAAAAUCAAAUUUGCAUGUAUAUUAAAGAAAAUAUAGAUUCAAGGUUUAUAGGGUUGCAUGUACACCAUAGGAGUGUUAGAAUGCUCAAAACCCAUCAGUAUGUUAAUAUACUUUUUAUAAAAAUACUUAGAUUUUAAAAGUAUAGUUUUUAUCAAAGCGCUUCAACCCCAUAACGUUUAUAGUUGUAUAUAUUUUUAUGGUUUGAUAUACUUAGUUCACUAUAAACAAUGCUCUGAUACCAAUCUGUCACACCCCCAAACCGGAAUGACGGAAACAUUCGAGGGUGGAGGACAUCAUGUACAGUAUCAUAACAAUAGCAUAAUAGUAAAACAAGCAACAACAUCCAUUGUAUUUAAAAUAUAUAGUUAAUACAUGUGUGUUCUGUGUAUUGUUUAUAAGACACCAGAAAAGUAUAGCAAAAUCAAAGCAGAGUCUUGUAUAAGCUUCGUCUUCUCAAAAACCUGGGUGAGUGUACCUGUCUACUGGUUCCCUUAGAGUACAAGUGAGUAUCAACAUUUUAGUUGGUGAGUUCAUAAGCAUUCAGUAUUUGAUGUUUGUAUUUGUUCCAUGAAAAUGAUAGUGUGUUCCCCAAAAAAAUCCCAUAUUUUCUCUAUUUAAAUGAAAAGCAGUCUUAGGCCUGAAGACCAAAAUGUUUUGUAUGUAAUUGUACUCUGAAAUAGUAUGAGUGUAUGUUUUCCAUAAAUGUAUGUUUUCUUUGGUAGAAAAUAGUGUACUGCAUGUGUAUGAACUCUAUAGUGUAAUAGUUCUGCAAAGUAAUGAUAGGUAGUCCUAUUACUUAUAAUAAAACCACUGAAGUAAUGUUUAUUUAGUAAACAAAAAUAUUUAGUUAAUGCUUAAUGUGAAUGAGAUUAUAAUCAUGUUAAAUUGACUAGUAUACUACACGACAUUCUCCAGGCAUCGAAAAGUUAUGACAUUUGUCACCCGUAGACCUACGGGUCACAGUGUAGCUAACAGCUGAGGUGUGGGAUUGUCAGUCCUGUAUAGAUCUAUACACAAAUUCACGCUCUCCCUCCAGGAGACUCUGGUUAUAUCGUAGCAUGAACCUUAUUAGGUACCAUGAUGUAGUGUCUCACAUUCUAAUAUUAACUCGUUUACAUAUAGUGUAUAUAUGUUUUCUUGUUCUUGUAACUGAAUAGUAUAUUUGUAAAGUAAAGUAAUUGUACUUAUGUGUUUGUUCAUGUAAUGUAUCCUCGAACUAGUAAAUAGUUUGAAUUGAUACAUAAACUAUACCUAUUAUAGUUUACAAGUUGUUAUGGUUAUAAUGAAAAUGAUUAACAAAGUUAUUAAAAUAGGUUUAAUAUUCAUAUAUAUAUNNNNNUAUAUAUAUAUAUAUAUAUAUUUGGAAUGUAUAAUUAAUAUUUAACCGACAGUCGGACAAAUGAUUCUACCCUUAGCCCACAACCAAACAAGGAACUGGAGUUAAGGCAUUAACAAUAGUCCUAAGUCCAUUAAAGCCUAAUUAUACAUAAAAAUACAUAAGAAUGUGAUUUUGAUAAAAACAAUAAUCUAAAUAGUUGAGAGUAGUUUAAAAAGGGGUGUUGAGAAUUUUCAUAAAAGUAAUUGUUUUCUUUUGAUUGUUUUCAUUUGUACUUAUGUCUUAACACAAUUUCAUUGUGGUUUGCUUGUAUUCUCCCCCUAAAAGAAUUGUAAAACGGUAAAACAUAGGGGUAUGAACUCACCUUAUGUGAGUGUUCGAGUGAAGAUACGGUGUAGUAGAGUUAAUUCCACGAGUUAAAAUCUGUAACAAAACUGAGUCCUAAUAGUAUUUCAUGCCAUAUAUAUGUAUAUAAUUAGCGAAUAUAGUGAUAAACAUGAUAUGGAAUAGCCUAAGAUGUAAGAAUCACUUACAAUAGAAGGAUUAGAAGUGAACCGUGAAACUGCUAGGAUUUUCCGGUCAGCUGGGCGUUUUCGUUUAGUUGAAAGGGUGAAGUGUUCUUGGUGAAACCACGAGGAUCAAGAUUGGAUGAUGAUUGUUUGAUGAUAUGAAGAACACUUGAAGAACUCGAUAUGAUCCUAUGAAGAUUCAAGUGAUCUUCGGAUGAUAGUUGAGAGAAUGGUGAGUUUUCGGUUGUGACUUUGAGAGGGAAAAGAGGUGUCUUCGGCUAGCAAGAGUAAGAAUGAAGUGUUGAUUUCGGUAUACUAGUGUAUAUGGCUGAAAUCAUGAUGGGUCACUUACAUUGGGAACGACAAGACACUUAAAAUCUCGUGCCAAUGGAUAUAAUUUAGGGGUUCUCGGUUAGGCACUCUAUCCGAGGAGUAGUUUUCGGCCGAGAACGGAAGCCAUGCGAGGUUUGCGGUCCGAAGAGUUUUCGGCUGAGAAUAUGUUUGCGGUCUGAAGGGGUAGUCUUGUAGGUUUGCGGCCGUAAAGGAUUUUCGGUGCGAGGGUUUGGAUUUAUGCGAGGGUUUUCGGUGGGAAGGCUCCUAUGCGAGACUUCUCGGUUUGUGUGUUUUUAAAUUCAAAAUUUGACAACACUAUUAAUAGAGGUUUAUGCAUAACAAGAUUAUUGAUUUAACUUUAAUAAAUUAACAAAACGUAUGAAUUUGACUUUUUUUUACAUGUUUGACUACGAAAAAUAAUGGGUUAGCACACCUGGAUCCCAUCCGCGAUCCUCAGAGUAGCCGACGAUGGAGCCUACACCGGUCUAGCAGGAAGCAAGGGACAAUUGGCCUUCACAUUGCUAAUCUAGUCACAGUGAUAGCAAAUCCUGGUGUUGGGUACUGGAGCUUGUUGAUGACAGUCCCUCGCAAUGUGCCCCUGCCUGCCACAUUUGCGGCAUCCAGAACUUCAGCGGAAUUGAACCACUUUGCCGCAGGUUGCGACUGUGUCGGGGCCUGCCUCUGCUCCCACGUCUGGACCUCUAUAUCGAUCUCUCGCCGCCUAGCUGCUUUUUGCAAAUCCACCAAUGAUCCAUAGCACUAUGUAGACACAAACUGAAGGAUGCCCAUCUUGAGCAUGCUCAAGUACCAUGUCAUCUGAUAUUUCUUGGAAGCUGCAAACUCAUGGCAAAAAAUAGCUCUCUCUGUAAACAUCUUGGUGAUCUUCGUCACCGACUUGGUCCCCUGUCUCAGAUCCAAGUACUCAUGAGCCAGUCUCUCCCGCUCCACCAAUAGAACAUACCUUGAGUGGAACAUCUCAAAUAAGUGCUCCCAUGAUACUGUCGCUCUCUGCUCUGGAGUGUAAAAACUAAGAAUCAAUCUCCACCUAUCAUUCGCUCCGGACCUAAGAAGGUUAAGAGCGCACUUGACCCUCUAGUCAGCUAGGCAAGACAAAGUAAAGAAAUAACCCUCGACAUCUAACAGUCACAACAUGAUAAUGAUCGGAUCCUGAACCCCAUCAAACACCGGGGGCUUUGUAUUGUCGAAGCCCCGGUAUUGGAAAGCUCUCCCAACGCCAAUCCUUGAUGCAGCGAUGGCUGCAGUGGCUGCAACAACAACAGCCUCAGAAAGUACAACGUAUCGUUCGUCUAAGAACUCCAUUAAACAGUCUUGACAGACCCAAACAACUCCGGUGUCCGCUCUUGGACAAUUGAACAACCUCCUCACAAAUGAUCUCCCUAACCCGGUCCUCAUUUAAUCUUGGCCACCUGCUCCGGCUCCUGAUCCGGAUCCUGACUCAAACUGCCUCGUAACAACCAUACUGGAAAUAAACCAGGGAGAUAUAAGAUAAAACACAUAUCAUACUAUAGGAACCAUUCCCCACUAAACCCUAGGGGUUGUAACUUCCGUGCUAUGCAUACAGGUCAUGUGCUUCCAUUAGUACGAGCCCAUACUACCUUCCGCACCCACCCAUAUUUGUCUCGGAGGAUCAUCACAACAACCCUAACAACACUCACCAGAAUAUGCAUAAACCCUAUUCUCACUUCCUAGAGAAAGGCUAGACAUCCCUCAACGGGUCGGCUGACUCCACAUAACUCAUCCAUGAAACUUCCACCAACCCUACAACACUCGUGUAUGCUAAUCAUACAUAACAUUGGAUCCUCUAGACAAUCAAAUACUUGAUUCUACCCUAAGCCCACAACCAAACAAGGAAUAGGAAAUAAGGCUAAAUCAAACAUUCUCAUGCUAUAAAAUCUUAGUAAUUAUGUUAACUUCAUGUAAGGAAGAAACCCUAAGCUACCAGGCAUCAUAUAAUCAGGAAAUUCUAUCAUGCAAUUCAUGAAGAUCCUUAGCUUAUCACUAGCAUGUUGUUCUAACAUAUCAUAAUAUCAAAUAAUAGUGUGGUAAUUCGAGGUCUACUUACUGGCUCCGACUGAUCGAACGCAUCACAUUCCAUCUUGAUUAUUUUUGAAAAAAAAAUUUAAAAAUCAUUUUUCAAAUCCUCACAAUUCCUUAGUUUCGAACUGGAUUUACACGUGUGUUCCUCCAAUUCGCUCAAACCAAGGCUCUGAUAUCAACUUGUAACAUCUUAAAAAUCACAACAAAUUUUAACUUUUUAAAUCAACUCAUUUACUAAUAAAAGUGUUAACAAAACCAUUGUUUCCAAAACAUUGUUCAAAACAGAGUCUCCCAAUAUCAAUAACGUAAAAUUAGGAUGUGUAUUGUCACACAUUCACCUUCCCAGGAUCCUCGACAGUACCUGAAACCAUAACCCAAAAACUGUCAGCCAACACUUAGUGAGUUUCCCCCAAAGUACCACGAGACAAAACACAUAUCAUACAUAAACGAGCAUGUUGGGUCCAAUCAGUCAUAGAACUGGAAUACACCCGGGUCUACAACCAUCAGUCUGAAUUACCCCUGGCCCAGUCACUCAUUGGACUGGAAUGCCAAUAUACAACAGGUCCACUCAGUCAUCGGACUGGACUACCAAUAUACAACGGGCCCACUCAGUCAUCGGACUAGAAUACCCUCGGGUCCAUUUUGCCAUCGGGAUGGAAUACCCCCGGUCUGUUUACCCAAGCACAAAGUAGUAAAGUCUCAACCCCACACAAUAUGUCGACAUAUAACAGAUAACAAACACAAUCAACAGACAUAUAAUCAUGCAGCCAGAAAUCAUAGGUAGUCCUACAGAUCUACCAGUCUACGCAUAUCAACAACCAUCAUAUAAUCAUGUAGGUCUAUCCCAUACUUAGCAUAUCAUAAACUAAUGUAUAUCAGAAUAUCAAUCCAAUGGGCCGACCUUGGUGCCUUCGACCCACAAGUACAGUGAGGAAGACUCACCUCACAAUCUAAACAAUAGUUUAUUAGGUCCCGAAUCUAAAUCUCAGCUCUAACCGUCACCUAUUCAUCCAAAUGACCAAUUCUCAAACACAAUCCAAAAUACCCAAAAUACCCUAGGUCAAACUUGGUCAAAGUCAGGUAAAAGUCAAAAUUCCAAAAAAGUCAGCCGAGUCAACCUAGUUGGUACACCUAGCUGGGUGUACUAAGUUGUACACCCAACAUAUAGGAUGAUUGACCAGGCACGGGCCUAUUGACCACGUACGCCUUAUAAACCCAACGUACACAGCUGGCUGCCAACCCAACUCACUAAGAGCUUAAUCCUAAAUCCCUUAAGUCCAUUUUCCAGAUCCAAGUACAAAAUCAUGUCUUUGACCAUAAAGUUUCCAACUUUAUGGUCGUGUAUGGCCAUUAAGUGCCCAACAUCAAAGAUGCUAACCUCUUAAUCCAUUAAGACCAUGAAUGGAAAGAAACUAGCGUCCAAGGUUACAUUUUUAUGACUCAAGAGGCUCCAAAACCUCUCAAAGGACAAAUCAAAUGGAUUAGAGUAACCCCUACUCAUAAUACCAAGCUUAGAGGACCAAAAGAACAUAAAAUCAAGCACAAAACAAGAUCUAAGUGAUGGGUUUUGAGCAUUCUAACACUUCCUAAGUGUACAUGCAACCCUAAUAAACCUUGGAUCUAUGUUUGUCUAAAAUACAUGCAAAAUAUGAUUUCCAAGGUUCAUAAUCCUAUCUAGCAUGCAUGGGGAACUUUAUCCUAAAAGGAUGGCUAGAAUUACAUACCUUGUAGUUGAUUUGAUUCCUUGAAAACCUUGAGAUCCUAGCACCCCAAGUAUGAUGCCUCAAAUGCUUCACACAACACCAAGUGCCUUUGGAAUGACUUGUGAGAGAAUGCAAACAUUCUAAAAAUUGGCCUACCCUCUCUUGUCCUUGUGUAACCGAUUUUGGUGGAGAAGGUGUUACUUAUAUAGUGUGACACAUCUAGGGUUACACCAUGUAAACCCUAAUGUGUCAUGACUCUUCAUUUCCAUGACCCAUGGGUUUGUAACUCCCAUGGAGCAUCUUAUGGGUUUAACCCAACUUGAUAAUCCAUGGAUCCUUUUAGCCCACUAUACAAGUUAUGGAAGAUUUACAUAAUCAACCCGUAUAUUUAAUUAGUUAUCUUUUGAUCACUUAACUAAUUCCAAAUUAAUUCUUGAUCAAAACUAAUUAAAUAAUACUAUUAAUAUAUUAGAACUUAUAACAUAUUAAUAAACCACAAGUGUUAUUUCUCUCAUUAAGUCUAUCCAAAUGCAUGAUUCCAUGUAACCCAAAUGCACCAUGCCGGGUUGGGUCAAGUACAUACCAGAAAUAGUUAUGGACUUAGACACCUUAUCCAACAGUCUCCCACUUGGAUAAGUCUAAUAACUAUAACUGCAAUACUUCAGGAACCGAUCGACAAUCGUAGCUCUUUCAAGGUCUCUCGGAACUGAGAAGAUAAUGAUACGCCAUUUAAGAUAAGUGAUCAUAUAAUCCUCUAUUCUAGAUAUCAGCUGGACAAAUACAUGGAACAAUGUCUUACUUAUUGUCCAGCAGUUUGUUUCCCGAUUUCCGAUUUGUUUGACAAAGAACUUAAUUGAACACAUCAACUUAGUUCUGACCGGGCCCGGUACAUAGGUCAAAACAAAAUCAUCGAGGGGCCCAGAUAUCAGCUUCUAAUCCAAGAAGGAACAGAUAAACUUCGACUCAUAUGUUUGUUCUACCACUCAUUGAAUUAUACACAAAAGCACGUUUUAUAACAUCGAGUUACCAAUGCGUUUUCGUACAAUCAAUGCAUAACCAACUCGUAAGUAACAAAUCAUAUCUCUAGGUUUGAAGACUUAUAUGAUAUUACCGUCUCACGAUCACUCGAGAAAAAUUCCAUGAAGUGAUUCCAGUGAGCGUGGGUUGAGUCCAAUGCUCAGAACUUAUGAGCACUCAUGAGUGUUGUAGCCAUUUCCAACACCUUAGACCUCUGCAACCAAUCAUGACAGUCUUGAUUCAUACCUACUUCCGACAUAUGACCGACUGUGGAGGUUCGAAUAAUAUGAUAUACCAAACAUAAUUAUUCUGGAAGUCAAAACAUGCAAAAGAAUUAUAGUAAACGAUUAACAAGAGAUAGCAACACUUUACUCAAAAAUAAACACAACUUUUAUUCAUCAUCAAAUGUCAAUUACACUUUAAAAUUUUAAAAAUUAUCUAACUAUUAAAACUAAUAUCAUCCUUCAGCCCUAUGCUCCAAGCAUGCUGGAGAUGCUUAACCCGAGUCAGUCCCUUCGUGAGGGGAUCUGCUGGGUUCUCAUCCGAUGAUACCCUCUUUUCCACGAGGAGUCGUUCUUCUAUUCAAUGUCUGAUGAAAUUGUAUUUUCUGUCGAUGUGUUUGGAUCUCCCGUGAUCCCUUGGUUCCUUGGCUAAGGCAACUGCACUUUCACUAUCAUAGAAAAUUUCCAUUGGCUCCUUAAUAGCUGGUAAAACUCCAAGGUCUCCAAUGAAGUUCUUCAGACAUAUCGCCUCCUUUGCUGCCUCGCUUGCCGCUAUAUACUCUGAUUCGCAAGUUAAAUCAGCCACUGUUUCUUGCUUGGAACGCUUCCAAGAAAUUGCUCCCAUGUUUAAGGUAAAGACCCAUCCUAACUAAGAGCGGAAAUUAUCCCUAUCAGUCUGAAAGCUAGCAUCACUAUACCCUACAACUCUCAAGUCAUCACUCCCACCGAGGGUAAGGACCCAGUCCUUAGUCCUCCGUAGGUACUUGAGGAUAUUCUUUACCGCAGUCCAGUGUGCCUUGCCAGGGUUCCCCUAAUACCUGCUAACCAUGCUUAAAGAAAAGGCUACAUCAAGUAGAGUACACAUCAUAGCAUACAUGAUCGAUCCUACAUCCGAAGCAUAAGGUACUCGACUCAUUUCUACUAUCUCAGCCUCAGUACUCGGGCUUUGUGUCUUACUCAGUCUGGCGUUACUCUGGAUGGGUAACUCUCCUUUCUUGGAGUCCUGCAUGAUGAACCUCUUCAGCACCUUAUCCAAGUAGGUGCUCUGACUAAGUCCAAUUAGUCUUUUACUCCGGUCUUUCAAGAUCCUUAUCCUUAGAAUAUAGGUAGCUUCUCCUAGGUCCUUCAUAGAGAAGCACUUCCCAAGCCAGGACUUAACUUCCUAUAGAGUUGGGCUGUCAUUUCCUAUGAGUAGUAUGUCAUCCACAUACAAUACCAAAAAACUAACUAUACUCCCACUAGCCUUGACAUAUACACAAGAUUCAUCUUCACUCCUAGAAAAUCUAAACUCUUUGACUUUCUCAUCAAAGCAAAGAUUCCAUCUGCGAGGUGCUUGUUUUAUUCAAUAAAUGGAUUUCUCAAGCUUACACACUCUAUUAGGGGUACUUUGUAUUGACAAAACCCUCUAGCUAACUCAUGUAAACAUCCUCAACCAACUUUCCAUUAAGAGAAGCGGUUUUGACAUCCAUUUGCCAUAUUUCAUAGUCAUGAAAUGCAGCUAUGGCUAACAUAACCCUAAUAGACUUAAUCUUGGCUACUAGAGAAAAGGUCUCAUCCUAAUCAACUCUCGGAGUUUGAGAGAAGCUUUUUGUAACCAGUCGUGCCUUAUAAGUGUUUACAUUUCCAUCCAUGUCGGUCUUCUUCAUGAUGAUCCACUUGCACCCAACUGUCUUACGACCCGGUACAUUGUCAACCAAGUUCCAAACUUGAUUGUCAUACAUGGACUGUAUCUCGCUGUCCAUUGCCUCUUUCCAUUUGGCUGACUCAGGGCCUGCUAUGGCUUCCGCGUAGCUGUUAGGUUCAUCCAGACCUAUCAGUGUCUCAUCAUUGAUAAGUGUAUCACCUUCCAUAGUAAUAUGGAAUCCAUAGUAAUGCUCAUGUGCAUUCCUAACCCUUGUGGAAUGCCUCAGAGGUCCAGACUUGUCAAUUGGCUCAACAAGAGUUUUCUCCUUAAGUUGAGUGCUAGGGUUUGAUGUUCCUUCACCACUUGACUCUUGAAUUUCUUCAAGGUCAACUUGCCUCCCACUGUUUCCUUGGCUUAUGAACUCUCUCUCUCUCUCUCUCUCUCUCUCUCUCUCUAAAGACAGCCCUCCUAGCUACAAAGACCACAUUUUCACUAGGUCUGUAGAAGAGGUAACCAAAGGAUUUCUGUGGGUAUCCGAUGAAAAUACACCUCUCACUUCGCGUUUUGAGCUUAUCAUGAGUCUCGCAUCUCACCAAUGACUCGCAACCCCAAAUCUUAAUGUGGUCUAGUUUGGGUACUUUACCAGUCCACAUCUCAUGAGGAGUUUUGGCAACUUUCUUUGUAGGGACCAGAUUAAGGAUAUGGGUGGCAAUCUCUAAGGCAUACCCCCAAAAUGAGAUUGGUAGCGAAGCUCGACUCAUCAUGGAACAAACCAUAUCCAUCAAGGUUCGAUUACGCCUCUCAGCCACACCAUUCAACUGCGGUGUCCUGGCAGGUGUCAAUUGUGAGACAAUCCCACAUUCCCUAAGAUAGUCGAGGAACUCUGAACUAAGAUACUCACCACCUCGAUCGGAUCGAAGCAUCUUAAUGUUCCUGCCCAAUUGAUUCUCGACUUCCUGUUUAAAUUCUUUAAACCUUUCAAAAGUCUCUGACUUAUGCUUGAUUAAGUAGACAUAUCCAUAUCUACUGUAAUCAUCAGUAAAAGUCAAAUAAUAACGAUUAGCAUCCCUUGUGGCAUGUUUGAAGGGUCCACACACAUCCGUGUGUACAAGGUCCAACAAACCUUCACCCCUCUCACAAGAACCUGUGAAGGGUGACUUUGUCAUUUUUCCAAGUAAGCAUGAUUCGCAACUAUCAUCUGACUUUAGGUCAAAUGACUCCAAGACUCCAUCCUUUUGGAGUUGGCCUAUGCGUUUCUUGCUUAUAUGUCCAAGACGACAAUGCCAUAAUGAUGCUUUAUCCAAGUUAUUAUCAUUAACAGAAUCAAUACACAAUACAUUAUUUCCUAAGUUAUCAACCACAGAUACAGUUUCAUACACACCAUCACAAGGUAAUGCUUUAAAAUAAAGAACAUUAUUAAAGAAAGCAUUAAUCGAACCAACUUCAUUAUCAAAUGAAAAGGUGAAACCUUGUUUAUAAAAUGCAUGAAAGGAAAUAAUAUUCCUUGCCAUUUCUGGUGAGUAACAACAUUUAUUCAAAUCUAAACUAAAUCCACUACUCAACGAUAAAUUAUAAACUCCAAUCUUGGUGACAGGUAAAGCUUUCCUAUUCCCCAUGAUUAAGUUUAUUCUUCCAUGCUCCACAUUCUCACUUCUACUUAGUCCCUGCAAAUCAGAACAAAUAUGAAUACCGCAACCGGUAUCAAGGACCCAAGAGUUAGAAUAGGGUGAGUUAUUAGAUAAGAUAGUGUAAAUACCUGCAUGGUUGGGUUUAACUUUCCCAUCCUUCACAUCUUGUUGGUACUUUGGGAAGUUCCGCUUCCAGUGCGACUUUUCAUGGCAAUAGAAGCAUUCAGCCUCUUUUGGGUCAGAAAAAGGAGUGACGAAACCUUUCUUGGUUCCACUUGAAGAAGAGCCAUCAAGGGUCCUAGCCUUGGAACCCUUCUAAGAGCACUUCCUCUUCUUCCCUCUACCUUUCCCGAUUGCCAAGACAGGGGCGGAGUUUGGAGUAGGAGUAGGAGUGUUAACAACCGACUUACCUUUAAGACCUGUUUCUGCGGUCUUGAGGAGUCCCCGAAGUUUGCUGAGUGUGACUUCUUCUUUAUUCAUGUGGUAUGUCAUGCGGAAUUGAUCAUAGCACGAGGGUAAGGAGUGCAAAAUUAUAUCUAUUGCAGGCUCCUCAUGGAAGUUCACAUUAAGCUUCAGCAAACGAUCCACAUACCUUUGCAUUUUCUGCAUGUGGCUCAUGACGGAGUCUCCAUCCUUCAUCAUGGUUGUUAUCAUGGAGCAGAUGAUUUCAUACCUCUCUUUUCAUGCAUUUUGUUGGUAUCUUUCCAUCAGAUCUUGGUGCAUUUCAAAAGGGUAGAAGUCCUCAUAGGACUUUUGGAGUUUUUCUAUCAUGGUGGCUAACAUGAUGCAUGCCACUUUGGUAGCAUCCCUUUCAUGUGCCCGGAAGUCAGCGAUCUCCCGGGGAGUUGCAAUGGUCUCAUAAAUCUCCUUAAUCUCCUUAUUGAGGACAUAUUCUUUGUCCUCGUAGAGGGUAAUCAUCCUGAUGUUUCUAAUCCAUUCAUUGAAGUUGGAUCCAUCAAAAGUGACUUUCCCACACAAGUUUAUAAGGGUAAAGGAGCCAUUAGGAUUAGAACCAGAAGUAGCAUUGUUUGAAGACAUCUGAAAGAAGAGGACAAGAUUAGUUUAGAUAUUAAGAGAGUCCUUAAUAAAACACCCAAAUGUAAUAUUAAGGCUAGGAUCCAAUCACAAUAUAUUAUAACUUAGAAGAGGUAUGUCGUAAUCCAAGCUAUAACAUAUUUGAAAGGUAGGUGAAUGACGAUUCACCAAUUUCCACCAUGAAAAAAGAAAUAUUAAAUAUUAGGUUUUUGAUUGGUUCUUAGAAAUUCCUAGAUUCUUUNNNNNNNNNNNNNNNNNNNNNNNNNNNNNNNNNNNNNNNNNNNNNNNNNNNNNNNNNNNNNNNNNNNNNNNNNNNNNNNNNNNNNNNNNNNNNNNNNNNNNNNNNNNNNNNNNNNNNNNNNNNNNNNNNNNNNNNNNNNNNNNNNNNNNNNNNNNNNNNNNNNNNNNNNNNNNNNNNNNNNNNNNNNNNNNNNNNNNNNNNNNNNNNNNNNNNNNNNNNNNNNNNNNNNNNNNNNNNNNNNNNNNNNNNNNNNNNNNNNNNNNNNNNNNNNNNNNNNNNNNNNNNNNNNNNNNNNNNNNNNNNNNNNNNNNNNNNNNNNNNNNNNNNNNNNNNNNNNNNNNNNNNNNNNNNNNNNNNNNNNNNNNNNNNNNNNNNNNNNNNNNNNNNNNNNNNNNNNNNNNNNNNNNNNNNNNNNNNNNNNNNNNNNNNNNNNNNNNNNNNNNNNNNNNNNNNNNNNNNNNNNNNNNNNNNNNNNNNNNNNNNNNNNNNNNNNNNNNNNNNNNNNNNNNNNNNNNNNNNNNNNNNNNNNNNNNNNAUAUAUAUAUAUAUAUAUAUAUAUAUAUAUAUUAUUAACUUGUAAUAUUAUAAAGUAUAAGGGUUGAUUUUUAACUUUUAAAAAUCUGAGGGUUGGAACUAAAGUUUAUUAAGUGACUUUACAUGUUCCAAAACUUGAGGGCAAGUUUUGUAACUUUGUAAACCUUUCACAUUCAUAACUUAUGAGUCAUUAAAUUGAAGACUCUUCAUUUUAUAACUUAUGUGUUCUUUUAAUGGAUUUUAACACAAAGAGACUUUUGGUUAUCCAUAACUUGAGGACAAGUUAUGGACUCCACUAAAACACAUAAAGAUCAUGAAUUAAUCAUAUAAACAAGUAACUCCUAUGAUCUAUCAAGAACUCAUAAGAACAUGAACAUUCAUAUCAAAAUUUCAAGAACAUAUGAACACAUAUAAUCAUGAAAAAUUGAUAUUUUUCAUUGUAAGUGGAUUAGAACAACCAUUACACCAUCUAAAACAAGUUUUAUAACACCAAAAUAGUUUAGGGUAAUGUUUCUAGUCCAUUUCUAGCAGCACAAAUCAAAUUUCUGCAUUCUGCAUGGCCAACUCAUCGAGUGCCCGAACUGACUCGCCGAGUUGGUUGCAUUUUCACUUGGACUCGUCGGGUCCUCCCCAUGGAUUCGUCAAGUCCCCUGUGCAGACAGCAAAAAAUCGAUUUUCAACACAAUUUGGCAUCAAGUAUUCACAAACAAGCCUAGGCUCUGAUACCACUGAUGGGUUUUGAGCAUUCUAACACUUCCUAAGUGUACAUGCAACCCUAAUAAACCUUGGAUCUAUGUUUGUCUAAAAUACAUGCAAAAUAUGAUUUCCAAGGUUGAUAAUCCUAUCUAGCAUACAUGGGGAACUUUAUCGUAAAAGGAUGGCUAGAAUUACAUACCUUGUAGUUGAUUUGAUUCCUAGAAAACCUUAGGAGCCUAGCACCCCAAGUGUGAUGCCUCAAAUGCUUCACACAACACCAAGUGCCUUUGGAAUGACUUGUGAGAGAAUGCAAACAUUCUAAAAAUUGGCCUAGCCCUCUCUUGUCCUUGUGUAACCGAUUUUGGUGGAGAAGGUGUUACUUAUAUAGUGUGACACAUCUAGGGUUACACCAUGUAAACCCUAAUGUGUCAUGAAUCUUCAUUUCCAUGACCCAUGGCUUUGUAACUCCCAUGGAGCAUCCUAUGGGUUUAACCAAACUUGAUAAUCCAUGGAGCCUUUUAGCCCACUAUACAAGUUAUGGAUGAUUUACAUAAUCAACCCAUAUAUUUAAUUAGUUAUCUUUUGAUCACUUAAUUCAUUCCAAAUUAAUUCUUGAUCAAAAUUAAUUAAAUAAUACUAUUAAUAUAUUAGAACUUAUAACAUAUUAAUAAACCACAAGUGUUAUUUCUCUCAUUGAGUCUAUCCAAAUGCAUGAUUUCAUAUAACCCAAAUGCACCAUGUCGGAUCGGGUCAAGUACAUACAAGAAAUAGUUAUGGACUUAGACACCUUAUCCAACAGUCUCCCACUCGGAUAAGUCUAAUAACUAUAACUACAAGUAUGACUUCAGGAACUGAUCAGCAAUCGUAGCUCUUUCAAGGUCUCUCGGAACUGAGAAGAUGAUGAUAUGCCAUUUAAUAUAACUGAUCAUAUAAUCCUUUGUUUCAAAUAUCAGCUGAAAAAAUACAUGGAACAAUGUCUUACUUAUUGUCCAGCAGUUUGUUUCCCGAUUUCCGAUUUGUUUGACAAAGAACUCAAUUAAACACAUCAACUUAGUUCUGAUCGGGCCCGGUACAUAGGUCAAAACACAAUCAUCGAGGGGCCCAGAUAUCAGCUUGUAAUCCAAGAAGUAACAGAUAAACUUCCACUCAUAUGCUUUCUCUACUACUUGUUGAAUUAUACACAAGAGCACGUUUUAUAACAUCGAGUUACCAAUGCGUUUUCGUACAAUCAAUGCAUAACCAACUCAUGGCAACAAAUCAUAUCUCUAGGUUUGAAGACUUAUAUGAUGUUACCGUCUCACGAUCACUUGAGAUAAAUUCCAUGAAUUGAUACAAGUGAGUGUGGGUUAAGUCCAAUGCUCAAAACUUAUGAGCACUCAUGAGUGUUGUAGCCAUGUCCAACAACUUAGACCUCUGCAACCACUCAUGACAGUCUUGAUUCAUACCUACUUCCAACAUAUGACUAACUGUGGAGGUUCGAAUAAUAUGAUAUACCAAACAUAAUUAUUCUGGAAAUCAAAACAUGCAAAAGAAAUAUAGUAAACGAUUGACAAGAGAUAGCAACACUUUACUCAUAAAUAAACACAACUUUUAUUCAUCAUCAAAUGUCAAUUACACUUUACAAAUUUCAAAAUUAUCUACCUACUAAAACUAAUAUCAUCCUUUAGCCCUAUGCUCCAAACAUGCUAGAAAUGCUUAACCCGAGUCAGUCCCUUCGUGAGGGGAUCUGCUGGGUUCUCAUCCGAUGAUACCAUCUUUGCCAUGAGGAGUCCUUCUUCUAUUCAAUGUCUGAUGAAAUGCUAUUUUCUGUCGAUGUGUCUUGAUUUCCCGUGAUCCCUUGGUUCCUUGGCUAAGGCAACUGCACUUUCACUAUCACAUAUAAUUUCCAUUGCCCCCUUAAUAGUUGGUACAACUCCAAGGUCUCCAAUGAAGUUCUUCAGCCAUAUCUCCUCCUUUGCCGCCUCGCUUGCUGCUAUAUACUCUGCCUUCUUGGAUGGGUUUGGGUACCGUAUGUUGGUGGGGUUCGAUUGGUUUUGAUGGAUGAGGCCCAUAAGUCAAGAUUCUCCUAUUCAUCUGGGGGCUACAAAAAUGUAUCAUGACCUGAAACAUAGCUAUUGGUAGCCGUGUAUGAAGAGGGAUGUGGCGUGGUUCGUGGAGCCGUGCUUGACCUGCCAGAAGGUCAAGGGCGAACACAAGUGCCAUGACGGAAAAUUAGAGUCCUUGGAAGUCCCACUGUGGAAGUGGGAGAAGAUCAUGAUGGAUUUUAUUACAAAAUUACCGAAGAUUGCGAAGGGUUGUGAUGCGAUUUCGGCGAUAGUCGUUCGUUUGACGAAGAGUGCUCACUUUGUAGCCAUAAGUGAGAGCUCUUCUACGGAGACGUUGUCCAAGAUUUAUGUCUAGAGGUAGUGUCGCCAUGGGGUGGCAAAUUCUAUUUUGUCAGAUCGAGAUGUUCAUUUUACUUCCCAAUUUGGAAGAGGUUUCACGAGGAAUUAGGCACUCGAUUGCAUUUCAGUACCGCCUCUUCCACAAACAUAUGAGCAGAGUGAGAUGACUAUUUAGACGCUUGAGGAUACGUUACCAGCCUGCAUCAUUGAUUUUGGUGGGAUUUGGGACUCCUACCAUCUUUUGGCUGAGUUUUCUUACAACAACAACCAACAUUCCAACAUUGGCAUGCCUCCAUUUGAGCUCUAAUAUGAUAGGAAGUGUCGGACUCCUUUUUGCUGGGGCGAGGUCGGACAUAGAGUCAUGGGGACCACUGAGAUAGUGCUCAAGAGUUACGUGGAUCGACGAUGCUUUGAGUUGGACUUUCAGGUUGGAGAUUUGGUGCCCCUAGGUUUAUUGGCCCUUUCAGAGUGAUAGCCCGAGUAGGCAAUGUGGCAUACUGGUUAGAGCUGCCAGAGGAGUUGGACCAGAUUCAUGACACUUUCCAUGUUUCUCAGAUGAGGAGGUAUCUAGUCGUUGAGAGAGUGGUGGUUCCUUCAGAGGACAUUCAAGUUGAUGGUCGCUUGAAUUACGUCGAGAGGCCGAUGGUGAUUCUGGAUAGGAGGGUGAAGACCCUAAGGAACAAAGUAGUGAACUUGGUCAAAGUUCAAAGGCAGCAUCAGAAAGGCUAUAAGUGGACUUGGGAGCCUAAGGAUGAGAUACGUGAGCAUUACCCUGAUAUGUCCGUAGAGAAUGACUUCGAGGAUUAACUCUGAUUCUAGUGAGGGAGAAUUGUAAUACCCAUUAUUAGGUAUUUUUCUUUCCAGUCCGUUUUGUUUUAAAUUUUUUGCAAAAGAGGUCCUUACGCUAGGCAUACAAGGCUAUACAUCAGGUGUAAGUCGGCAGACCUGUGGCGUGUCAAAAAUAGAGUACUCUAGGCGUACAUGUGAGUACAUUGGGCGUACUCAUGCAUUCCCUAAACCUUAAUCUUUUGGGUUGUGACCCCUAUUUAAGCAUCAUAAACCCAAUUGGACAUUCUUGUUACCAGCCUCCAUUUCCUCCAAACCUAAAAAUCAAAACCUUAGCCUUUUUGAGUGAGAUUUAUAGCUUGAGUGUGAUCCUUAAGUGUUCAAGAUAGAGAAGUAAGAUCAUUCAAUAGUGGUGGUGCAUUCAAGUCUUUGGAACGAAAAUCUACAUCUCAUUGUUCAUCUUUUGAAGGUAUAAAGUUCAAACCUUGGAGCUUAUUUUGAUAUACCAUGUUUAGACUUAGAUUUGAGUUCAUUUUGUCCCAAACCUUGAUCCUUUUCAGUAUGGAAUACUCCAGAGCUUAUGAACUGUCCUUUCAAACAUUUUAGGGUGUUUAGAAUCAUAAAAAUGUUAGCUUGGUCCUUUCCUUUUUCCCAUGCAUGAGUUAUAGAGAUUUUAGGAAAAUGAAAUGUUAUGCUUUUGGGAUUUAGCUCUUUGUAAACAUGCAAAGGCUUAAAUUUAGAGACUUAUUGGAUUAAAAAGUAAUUUUAGGGUAUGAUCUAAAGUUGGUAUAAGGGUCUUAAUGAUUAAGAACACAAAAAUGAAGUUUUGGGGAUCAGUUGCAUACGUCGAGCGAACUUUUGGCUAUACCCAACGUAGCCAGUUGCGAGCCCGCUCUUUCUUUCCAACCAAUGCUUUACACCCAUUGUAGAUCAGUGUACACAACGCGUACAACCACCUGUUGACUUUCUUUGACUUUGGGCUAAUUGUGUCUUUAAGGGAUCUAGUGAGGGUUUUGGUCUUGGAAAGCGCAAAAUGGUAUUCUACCAUAAAUAUGUAUUAUAAUGGGCUUGGGAUUAUUAGAGUGUGGAAAAUUACCUUAAUUAUAAAUUAAGGUUAAUUGGUGUAAUUAUUAGGCAGAAUCUAGUUCCGACAAUUCGGGUGUGAGUUCUAUCAAUCAUCUGUGAGAGGUGAGUCUCCUCACUUAUUCUUACAUGUGUGGUAGAAAAGAUUUGUAUAUGUGAUGAACAGUUGGGUCAAUGUGCUAUUACUUUGAUAUGUGUUACUUUGCGUGUUCUAAGACAUCAGGUAGUCUCGAGGUAUGCUGAUAACCCACAGGGCGUGCUGUUUGCCCACUGAGACUUCAAGUAGUCUCAAGGUUUGCUGAUAAACCAUAGUUUUUUAUUUAGUGUUGUAUUUUAUGUGCUAUUUUGUGGAACUCACUAAGCUUCAUGCUUAAAAUUGUUGACUAAAUGUGUUUCAUGUACUUCUGAGGAUCACAGGAAAGCGAAGGCUUGGUUGUAUACAUCCACCUGUAGUUUAUUAUACUCUAUAUUUUUGGACACUCUGAUAUUUUGAUGAUGAUUUGUUUUUGACACUGUGAUUUUCUUGAAAUUGUUUUAUGAACAAUAUUUUUAAAUGAAUUUAAAAAUGAAACUUUUGGUUUGAAAAUUUGUAUGUUACAUUUCACUUAACACGUACGUGAGGAUUUCUAAAUAUCUUCACAGUGAAGAUCUACCAUGUGAAGUGGCCUCUUUUAUAAUAUAUAUAUAUAUAUAUAUAUAUAUAUAUAUAUAGGUAACAGAUCAAAUGAGAACUGAUGUAACCCAAAAAAUCGUCAUGAGUCUCAUCGAGUCGAUAUCUCAGAUAUCUGCUUCGAUGCCACUAGCAAGCUCCAAUGUGAUUCAUGUUAGACUCAUAAAUAAGAACAAUUAGAGUUUGCCCAUGACUUGAGUCCUGGGAGUGGCCUCCAAUGAUUAGUUUAGUAUCGAUAGUAAAUAUAGUUCAGAUCCUUUGAGCAGAAGGAAUCUCAGUGUAUGUAUGUGCGGUGUGUUUAUAGAGAGGUUUGUACCUAAGGUGACUUGAGGACUUAUUGUCUUGGGAAGGAGCAAAUCAUACUACCAAAUAUUGGACCAUGUUGGCCUAAGACCAAAGACCGAGCCAUUUUUAGCCGAACCAUUUUGGCCAAAUCAUCGACUCAUGUUGGCAGGACCAUAUUUUGUUGAACCACGUCAGAAGAACCAUAUUUAUCUCAAACAUGUUGCCCGAACCCGGAAAGAGGGCCCAAUGAGGUGUAUAUAUAUAUAUAUAUGAGAAGCAUAAAAUGUUAGGAAACAUAAGAACCUCUCUUUUUACCUUAUAAAUAAUGGUAUGUUUAUCAUUUCUUAAAUGUAUGUUAAUAAAGCCUACAAAUGAUAUUUUUGUCAACUAUAUGUUUAGGUUAUUUCAUCAGACAUAAAAUGAUCACUAUUCUGUCACAAUAUUUUUUUUUCUCUCAUUUUAUCUCAUCUCUUUCUGUAUUAUCUCUUAUCAUUUCCGACCAGCACCAUCGACGACACCAUUGUCGUCGCCAAUGUACAACAAUAUUCAAAUCUAGAACUUCCACCUGCAGAUCUAGAACAUUUGCCUCUAGAUCUAGAACUCCCGCCUUCAAAUCUACCAUCACCAUCGAGGCGCCGCCUCUUGACAUCAUUUUCUAUCUCACCAACAUGAACCUUCUCUUGCCAUCAACCAUUUUUCUUUAAUGGAACACCUAGAAAACACCAUACUCUACUUCGAAGUCUGCAUAUAUUUCUUCUUCGGUUCUUCGACGUUAAGAUCUGACGAAGCACGUGAAAACCUCUUAGAUCUGCUUCACCAGAAUAACAGAUCUGAUGGACCAUGAAGCUCUUUAUCGCCUAAAGAUGUUUAACUACCUCUAGGUGUACUUCUUUUUUCAUACGACUUCCUCUACAAUCUUCGGCGAUCUAUCUACAAUCUACUACGACAAAUCAACAAUUUUCUUGUCUAUAUCUACCAUUUACGGCUCUGGAUCAACGAGUACUUAUGAGAUUGAUGACUAGAACUAAGACAACCAUCAACCACCACCAUCGAUGUUGCCUCACCGCUCUGGUGAAAAUCCACAAACUUGCCUCCAUGUUUUUCUCACUGAUAUCCGAUGAAACACCACUAGAUAUGUGUAUCAGGUAUGUGGAUUUUUUUUAUUGUUUUUCUUUGUGAAGCUGCGAUUUUAAUGUUUUAAUCUCUCAUUUUUAUGUUUUCUUUUGUUAAUCUUUGUUUUAAUUGCUAUUAAGUUGUGAAUCUAAGUUUGUUUUCAUCUUUGCAUAUAACUGUUGUUCAUAGCUCAGGUUUAUUGGCUGUGAUGUUGUGAAUUGAAUUUAGAAUGUGUGUUAUUAUGUUAAAGUUUUCUCAUAAUAAUGUGAAUCUAGGUAUUUUAAGUUGUGAAUUGUGAUGUUUUAAUAUUUCACUAAUUAUUUAGUUAUGUUAAUGUUGGUUUUAAACUGUGAUAGUUGCCUUUUAAACUAUGAAUUGAUUGCAUUAAGUUGUGAAUUUUGUCACAUCCCCAAAUUCACGGCCAUUUUAAAAAAUUUGUUUAUGCUUAUUUUAAAAAUCAGAGUACCAUUUUAAAAAGUAGUGUUGCGGAAUUUGUUCCCAGAAAAACAUGAUAAUAAUAUUAUCAAAGAAUUUCCGAAGAAAUGUAUUUAGUUUAUAUUAAAACUUUCGGAUGUCAUUGUCAAUAUAGAAACAUAAGCAUAAACAGACCUUAUAUUCAUUUACACUAAUGAUCUACAUCUCCUUAAUCUCUCAGUGUAAUGUAGCUUUGUAUCGACACCUACGAUACAAAUAAAUUGAGUGGGUCUGCUUGGGAAACCUGGUGAGUACAUAGGGUUUUCAACCCACAAUAAUAAAGUUAUUAUGUUUCAUCAUCAAACAAUCAACCCAAUUACCCAUCCCCAUUAUCUCUUUAUUCUUAAGUAUCUUCCCUAAGAAUCAUCUAUUCCUCAAUAUUUAUUCUUAAGGAUUAUCCUAAGGAAUAGGCACGAAGUCCAUCACUGCUAGGGUUUAUAUAACAGUCACUAAGUCCAUAGCUGCCAAUGUUAUUUGUUAGGCACUAAGUCCAUAGCUUCCAGGGUUUAUCUCUUUUAUUGACAAUAUUAUUUUAGGGAGUCCACCCACAAUACAUGUCAAUGGGUUUUUAGAGUACAUCUGAUGACCAUAUCGUUCACAACACCUACAGGUCGCGAGCCUGCUAGUAUUCCGCUGGACUGUCUAGAAUAGUCCGUUGUUGUCAUACUUUGUUAGAUGACUGGGCAACCGCUUGGGUCAAGGCUUCUCAUUAUCUUUCACCUCUCGUCAUCUAUAUCAUCUUUCAUCUCCCAUCAUUCAUCUCUCAUCUCAUCUCAUUUUUAAUCUACCCAUCUUUACCCAUCAUAAUUAUAUGUAUAAAAUAUGUAUACAUUUUAAAACGUAUAAAACAUUUAUAUUUUGUUCAUCCAGCAUAGAUAUCACUCACUUAUUAAAGUGAUGACUCGAAAUUUGGAUAGUGUUUCGUUUCUAACUAUCAUCUUUUCCUUUGACGAAACCUUGUAUUAUUGCCACUAGAUUUUUUCUAAUAUUUAUUGCGACUAAUCAUUACUCUAGACUUACGAGCGAUAUUUGUUGGGGUUUAUAAAUGGCAUCGACCAAGUCCACGCACGAUGGCCUGGAGUGCCACAAUCAAAUGCCUGGUCAUGGAUGGUUGAAUGUGCUAUAUGGGUAAGGUUGCACCUUUCUAACACCAAUUGGUUUUAGAUCAACCAGUAGCGUUGAUGCUCAACAAGUGGUAUCAGAGCCAAUGGUGUGGGUUCAAUUUUAUCAGGGAGCAAUUUCUGAGAGGUGGGGAUUUUUGGGGGACAGAAAUGGGAUCGACCAAGUCCUCUCACGAUGACCUGGAGUGCCGAAAUCGAAUGUCUGGUCCUGGACGGCUGAAUGCGCUAUAUGGGUAAGGUUGCGCCCUUUCUAAAACCAAUUGGUUUUAGAUCAACAAGUAGCGCUGAUGCCCAAGAAUAUUGUUUUAUAAGUGUUAAGGAAUACCUUUCAACUACUAUGUACAGACAGGGGCCAGACAUGAAACACCAGAGGGCAUGACCAUUUUUGCAUUUAAGCUGUUCAGAAAUCCAACAACCCUAUGCAGACCUUCAAACCAGAUUCCCCGUACCGCGAGCAGUUAAAAUUUAUUAUAAUAACACUUUUUAUAAUUUAUACUUAACACAUAUAUUGCUUAUAGGUUCAUAAGAACGAUAAUGAACUUAAACAUAAGUUAUACUUAAAGAAGGGUAACCAUAACUCACUUACAAGGGGGUUUGGCUAGGAACCGAGGUCUGCGGCGGCAAAACUUCUAAGCCAAAACUCUUCUUCUCGGAGCCUUCUGGCGCUCCGGGACUCACCUCUAACACUUAAGAAGUGCUAAGGAAGGGGAAUGAUAGGUUUGGAGUAUUGUGAGAGAAAGAAGGGUUGAGAUAUGAAGAAAAUGGAUGAUUUACACCUCUAUUUAUAAGCUGCAUGGGGGCGAUUCACGUCGUGAACUUGCGUAAGCAGCAAGGCUUUGCUUGGUGCUGACACGUGGCGCCAGACGCAUGUAAAACAAACAAUUUUACGUUCUUUAUAUCCACGUGUAGGUAUUGACAAGAUAUACAACUUUCCUUUUGACCCCAUUGGCUAAUUCUUGAUCGAUUUUAAAAUUAAUAGCAUGAGAAGAUUACACAUGCGGACUUCGUUUUCGACUGUAUUUUUAUCAUUUAACUCCUUUUAGUGAGAUAUUCAAUUCUAAUUUAGAUCAUUUUGGCUAAAUAUUGACAGAUCUAAAAUUCGAUUUCUGAGUAGUAUAUUGUUAUGUCAAAUCUUAGAAAAAUCAUCACUUCCUCAUAAGAAGUCAGAUUUGGAUGUUCUUUUUAUGUACGUUCUCAGUUUAACAUAGAAUAAGACUUUCUUUUAGAUUUCUAAGGCUAAAAAUUAAUUUAUCAAAAAUUCAUUUUUUAUGUAACGCGGUGCCAUGGCGGUUUAGCUGUAAAACUUCGACCUGUCAUAACUUAUUCUUUAUAACUCGGAUUUCAACGUUCUUUAUAUGUACAAAACCCUUAUGACAUAUACUAUAACUUAGUUAAGAUUAUUUAUUCUAAAUAAUCUUCUAUCAAAAAGUUGUUUUUGACACUCAUUGUCUUUAAAUUGACUAGCCCGAAUCUGCGGGCGUUAUAAUUAUCUCCCCCUUAGGAUGUUUACGUCCCGGAAUCAUCAAUAAAUUAGGGCUUUAUAUAAUUAAUUCGUACGUUAUCUCUUCAUCCUAGUAAAUAACCAUAACUUCUAUUUUCCUUCAAAUGAUUAUCUAACUCUUGGACUUCUUGACUGCAGGCGGUGCUCAAUCUUGCACCCGCUCUUUAUCCUAUGCUGGAAUUUCAAUCGUAACCUUCGAGUUACAAAAUCGAUCCUUAUUGGUGACUCCUACUUCUUAUUAAACAUAAUUAACUUAAGACAAGUUCUUUACUUUAAUUAUCAUGACAGACCGAUGGGUCAUGUUCUAAUUACCUCAUGUCGUAUGAUGCAACACUUAGACUUAGGUCUUUUAGAGUCAAAUUCCAGAAUGGAAUAUACCUUCCUUCAUGUUCUAAUUUGAUAUAAUUACAUUCUAGCAUGUAGCAUUUCUAGCUACAUUAUAGAAUGGUAGUAGAGGCCUUCUUACCUUAACAAUGGUUGCGAUGCUUCUAUCAAUUACUUCGACUAUAUUUCACUUCAAUUGUCUGGCUUAAGUCAGAUGCUACAUCAAUCUUGGUUCUCUAAACCACGUAGAAUACAUAUCUUAGUCAGACUCGAUAUGAUAUGACCACUAGGGUCAGAAUAAUAAUUAUCAUCUGCUUAGUCAUUAUCGAAACGAUGGUAACGAUAGAAAUGAAGAAAACAUAAUCAAUUACUAGCGCCUUUGUAACCUUGUGACUUUCCCUGAUCCAAGUGCGAGUCAUGUGCUUCUGGUAGUAUAUGCCUCUACUACCUUUCACACAUACUCCUAGUCGUCCCAAGUAUUGUAUCGCAGUCUCCAAGUUCUUAUUUCUUAAAAUCACAAAACGAUUUAACACAUACGAAUGUGUGUAAAUAAUCACAUUUUUUUUCUAGAAUCUACUAGGACUUCUUCCAUGCAUAUCUUCAACAACAAUUCUACAUCAACUCGGUUGGUGAUGGAAACACCAAACGAUAUGACAACUUUAGGAAUUACACCAAUCGUUCUAUCAUCCCGCUAAUCAAAUGUGUACAUUCGUAUGUACCGUACUCCAAUAGACAUAUUGUUAUUUUAUCAUAUGUAUUCUAAAUGCAAGAUACCAUUCUUACGAUAUCUUCUUAUAGGUAUCAUUUACUAUCGUAAGCCUUCUAAUUUCCUCUAUUUACUGAGUUCACUAUGAGUUUUCACCAUGACGUUAUGUUCACGGAAGCAUGUGUUUAGUGUAUCGGGACGAGAAUAUAGAUAUGGAAGGUUUAGACGUGUAAUCCUCCUUAUUACCCCGAAUAGUUACAUGCCAGUUCUAAUAUCGUAAUUAAACAAUUAGAAAUCUGAACACAUAAAAUUUUUAGAUCCGGUCAACCAUGGAUCCGAUCAAACGAUAGCAUCAUAGAGCAUAUAGGGCAUCUUAUAGCAUAAAUCAUUUUGCACAUAAAACCAAUUUAGGAAUCUUUCCUAAAAUAAUCUAGUGCUCGUGUCUAUGCAGGCAUACUUCCUAAAUAUAGCAGACACUCAUCUAAAAAUCAUUGCUUAACAUUCUAAGUUUAACUCUAGAAAUUUCCUAAAAUUCCUAGUUCGCUGAAACUACUGCUCUCAUACCAACUGUGACAUCCCCAAAUUCAUGGUCAUUUUAAAAAUUUUAUUUAUGCUUAUUUAAAAAUCAGAGUAUCCAUUUUAAAAAGUAGUAUUGUGGAAAUUGUUCCCAGAAAGACAUGAUAAUAAUAUUAUGUGUAAAUUGCACGAAUGGUCACUAUUGUCUGGGGUAAUUUGCACGUUUGAUCACUAAUUUAUUUUUCUAACUAAGAAGUUCCCUACAGUUUGUUUUUUUGUUACGUGUUUUGUCUAUGUCUUACCUAAAAAGACUAUUUUGCCCUUGAUUUUUUUAAUUUUGUUAAAUAAAGUGUGUUAGGUAAGGUGAGGUGGAAAUGGGGUUAGGUGUGUUUAUUUAAAUAAAUUAAAAAAUCAACGGUAAAAUAGUAUUUUUAGGUAAGACAGGGAUCAAGCACGCAACAAAAAUGUCACACCCCAAAACCAAGAACGGCGGAAACGUUCUGGGGCGGAGGACGUCAUGUAAAGUAUCACAACACAGUAAAUGAAAAUAGCAAACAACAUCAUCCAUUGCAUUAAAUAUAUAAUUUUAAUAGAAGCGUGUUCUGUACAGUUUUUAGACACCAAAAAUAUAAGGUAAAUCAAAAUAAUAAUAUGAUGAGUCUUGAAUGCGCUCCAUCAUCUCAAAAGCUAGCAUCGGUACCUGUCUACUGAUGACCUGAGAAUACAAAUUAUUUUGAAAGAGUUUAUCAGCAUUAAGCUGGUGAGUUCAUAAGUAUUUUAGUGUCGGUGUCUGUUAUCAAAAACGUUUGAACAUGUCUCAAGUAUAAGUUCGUGAAAUGUAUGUAAGUGUUUGUAAAAGUUUGAAUCUCUCAGAAAAACCUAUAUUUUCUAAUAAAGUAGCCUUCUACCAAGGCUUUAACAGUUUUGUAUGUUUGUUUGUUGUAAAAGGGUGUAAUUUCCCAAGUGCAACUAUCUUUUAACAAAAUAUAGUUUGUACAUUAAAGUUCAAGUGAGGUUAUCACUAAAAAUAUGUAAUGGGUAAAUCAUUGUAGUACUGUAGUUUAGUUUUAUAGUAACAACUGCUGUACUAACUACCUUAAACCGGAUUUAUAUUAAGGUAUAAUGUGAUAAUUGCUCCAUACUAUCGACUGAUAACAACGACAUAAAGAACGGUCGUAAUAACGGAAUGACGUUUGGCACCCGCAGACCUGCAGGUCCGGCUGUAGCUAGCAGCAAGGUGUAGGAUAGUCAAUCCAGUAUAGAUCUAUACGCAAACUCAACGCUCUCCCUCCAAGAGAAUUCUGGCUACAACUCGGGCCAUGACAUUUAAGGCAUGCUCCGAUACAGUGGAUCACAUUUGUUAUCGUAUUCUUGCAUAUGUGAUGAAAUGUUUCUCGUUCUAGUAUAGUUGUAUAUGUUCUCAUAGUAUAGUUGUAUAUAUUCUCUUCCUAGUAUAGACUCAUGAAUGAACUGACUCAUUGAUCUAGCAGUUGUAAUAGUAUGAUUCUGUGUUACCCCGAUGGUAACUUGUUAACGGUGUGUCUAGUACGUAUGAUUAUGGAAGUACUUUUAUGUCUAUAUAUGUAUAUUUGAUAUAUAAUUAAUAUGGAAACGACCUUCGGAUGGUCACCCAAAAUCCUAUCAGACCACAUCCAAAUCGAGGAAAAGGAAACAAGGUGGAUAGCCUUCCUAAGUCCUUUAAACAUUAUUUAUACGUCUAUACAUAUAUGGGCAUGCAAUUUAUAAUAUAAAAGCAUAAAUAAGUUUUUAUAAGACAUUUGAAACAUAAGUAUUAUUUUAAAGAAAGAUCGACUUGAUGUCGAUCUAUAAAACAAUUUGAAGGCAUAGGCUUGAUUAAAACAGUUUAAGUAUAAGGAACAUUUGUUUAAAUCACAGUUGUAAUAUAAAUUUUGAAAAGUAAAUGGGUUUGUAAAACAUUUCGAAGUAAAACAGUUUGAUAGACAGUUUGAACAGUGAUAAAUUCACUGGUUUCCCUAGUUAUUAAUCACAUGUGGUUAAUGCAAUCACAUGUGAUUGAAGCAAUAACUAUAAGUAUUUAACUUGCAUUCCCCCCCUUUUGAAAGCAUAUAAAAGCAUUUAGAAUAUUUAACAGGUUGAUUAAGGGGUAUGAAACUCACUUGAUUGAUUGAAGAAAGCGAGAUGGAAAACCGGGCAGAGUUUCGUCUCGGGAAACGGAUUUUUCUCGGGAUUCUCGGGAAUCUCGGGAGUAAAAUCGACCCUCGGGACUUGAGCAAAAAGACCAGAGCUUCGGGUUUGAACGGGCACGGAAAUCGAGGCAAGAUCGUGAAAGAAAGGAGAGAAAUGAGCAAAAUUUCUGGAAAGCCUCGCAUCCCUUUUAUAGGGGUGCUGAACUGCCUCGGUACGCAGGGCGUACGAGGGUACGCAGCGCGUACGAGACGUCAUCGCUUACGCACUUCGGAUGGGACGGCGGGUCGGACGGGCGGGUCGGAAGCUUCGCAUAGGGCGACAUGGACGAUCCGAGGCCCUUCAUCUGAGUACGCGGGGCGAACGAAGGUACGCAGGGCGUACUCCGGUCCUAUCCGAUGACUCCCCUUCGGAUAAUACCGGGAGUUUAUAAUUAAAUUUAUAUUUAUUUUAAAUAAACUUCUAAAAUUCAUAUCACCUUCAUACGAACUCCAUUUUUGACGUUCUUUAUAUUCACGCGAAGGUGAGACCAAGAUCUACAACUUUCGUUUAGACUCCGUUGGCAAAUUCCGAAAUUAUUUUUAUUAUUUAUUUAUUAAAAUGACGUGAUUAAGGAAUUUCUUCAAAAAUUCAUAACUUCCUCAUCCGAAGUCAGAUUUGGACGUUCUUUUUAUGUACAAAAACCUUGAUACGAUUCCUACUACUUUAUUUAACCCAAAUAAGUUUUUAGGAAAAUUAUAUUUUGACCUAGAUUUGAUUGGUUUUACAUUACAUUGUCUCGAAAUAUCGGGUUGUCACAAAAAACAAAUAGUAUGGACCUUCCAAGUUAAAAAAACAAGUUAGGGACCAAACGUGCAAAUUACCCCAAACCAUAGGGACUAUUUGUUUAAUUUACUCUAAUAUUAUCAAAGCAUUUCCGAAGAAACGUAUUUUGUUUAUAAUAAAACUUUGGGAUGUCAUUGUCAAUACCGAAACAUAAGCAAAAAACAGACCUUACAUUCAUUUACACUAAUGAUCUACAUCUCCUUUACUCUCUCAGUGUAAUGUAGCUUUGUAUCGACACCUGUAAUACAAAUAAGCUGAGUGGGUUAGGUUGGGAAACCUGGGGAGUUCAUAGGGUUUUCAACCCACAAUAAUAAAGUUAUUAUGUUUCAUCAUCAAACAAUUAAUCCAAGUACCAAUCCCCAUUAUCUUCUUUAUUCUUUAGUAUCUUUCCUAAGAAUCAUCUAUUCCUAAAUAUUUAUUCCUAUGGAUUUUCCAAAGGAAUAGGCACGAAAUCAUCGCUACCAGAGUUUAUAUAACAGGCACUAAAUCCAUAGUUGUCGAUGUUAUUUGUGAGGUACUAAGUCCAUAGCUUCUAAGGUUUAUCUCUUUUCUGAACAAUAUAAUUUUAGUGAGUCUACCCAUAAUAUAUUUCAAUGGGUUUUUAGAGUACAUCUGAUGAACAUAUCGUUCACAACGCCUACAGGUUGCGAGUCUGCUAGUGUUCUACUGGACUGUCUAGAAUAGUCUGUGGGUGUCAUCUAGACUUUGCUAGAUGAUUGGGCCAUCACUUGGGUCAAGGCUUCUCAUAAUCUUUCACCUUUCAUCAUCUAUAUCAUCUUUCAUCUCUCAUCAUUCAUCUCAUCUUUCCUCUCUCAUCUCAUCUCAUCUUUAAUCUACCCAUCUUUACCCAUCAUAAUUAUAGGUAUGAAAUACAUAUACAGUUUAAAUCAAAUAAAACAUGUAUAUUUUGUUCAUCCAGCAUAGAUAUCAAGAACAUAGAUAAUAUGCAUGCAUAACACGUAAUGUAUAUUAAAUACUUCAUAUUUAUGUGUAAGAUGAAAGUAACUAUGAACUCAUUUGUUAAAGUGAUGACUCGAAAUUCGGAGAGCGCUUCACUUCUAACAAUCGUCUUUUCCUUCGAAGAAACCUAGUAUUAUUACCACUAGAUUUUAGUCUAAUAUUUAUUGUGACUAAUUAUUAGUCUAGACUUACGAGCGAUAUUGUUUUAUAAGUGUUAAACAAUAUUUUUCAACUACUAUGUACACACAGGGGUCAGACAUGAAGCACCGGAGUACAGGACCAUUUUAGCAUUUAAGUUGUUCUAAAAUCCAACAACCCUAUGCGGCCCUUCAAACUAGGUUCCCCGUACCGCGAGCAGUUAAAAGGUAUUAUUAUAACACUUUUUAUAAUUUAUACUUGGCUCAUAUAUUGCUUAUAGGUUCAUAAUAAUGAUAAUGAACUUAAAUAUAAGUUAUACUUAAAGAAGGAUAAGCAUAACUUACUUACAAGGGGGUUUGGCUAGGAACUGGACUCUGCGGGGGUAUAACUUCUGAGCCAAAAGCUCUUCUUCUCAGAGCCUUCUAGCAUUCAGGGACUCGCCUCUAACACUUAGGAAGUGUUAGGGUAGGGAAGGAUAGGCUUUGAGUAUUGAGAGAGAAAGAAGGGUUGAGGUGUGAAGAAAUUGAUGAUUUGUGCCUCUAUUUAUAGGUUGUCUGGGGGCGAUUCAUGUUGUGAAACUUACAUUCACGUCAUGAACUUGCGUAGGCACUAAGGCUUCGCGUGGUGCUGACACGUGGCACUGUACGCAGGCAAAACAACAAUUUUUUAAAAAAUCAUAACUAUCGCAUAUGAGCACCGUUUUUGACGUUCUUUAUAUCCAUACGCAGGUAUUGACAAGAUCUACAACUUUCCUUUUGACCCAUUGGCUAAUUCUUGACCGAUUUUAAAUUUAAUAGUCUACGAAGAUUAUAUUGUUAACGACCAUGUAAAAUUCAUAACUUCCCCGUACGGACUCCAUUUUUGACUGUCUUUUUAUCGUUUAAAUCCUAUUAGUGAGAUCUUCAAUUCUCAAUUAGAUCAUUUUGGCUAAAAAUUGACAGAUCUAAAAUUCGAUUUCUGAGUAGUAUAUUGAUAUGCCAAAUCUUAGAAAAAUCAUCACUCCCUCAUAUGAAGUCAGAUUUGGAUAUUCUUUUUAUGUACAUUCUCCGUUUAACGUAUAAUACGACUUUCUUUUAGAUUGCUAAGGUCAAAAAUUAAUUUAUCAAAAAUUUACUUUUUACGUAACGCGGUGCCAUGUCGGUUUAGCAGUAAAACUUCGACAUGUUAUAACUUCUUCGUUAUAACUCGAUUUCAACGUUCUUUAUAUGUACGGAACCCUUGUGACAUAUACUAUAACUUAGUUAAAAUUAUUUAUUCAAAAUAUUCUUCUAUCAAAAAAAUCGUUUUUGAUGCUCGUUGUCUCUAAAUUGACUAGCCUGAAUUUGCGGGCGUUACAAAUUUUCUGUUUAAACUGUGAAUCAACUAUAUUAAGCUAUGAAUUUUGUGUAUAAAACUACGAAUUUGUUGUAUUAAAAAGUGAAUUUUGUAUAUUAAACUAUCAAUUUACUAUAUUAAGAGUUUUAAGUUGAUAAUAUGGUUGUGACUGUAUACUUUUGUGUAUUAAACUAUGAAUUGAUUAUAUUAAGUUAUGAACUUUUGUUUAUUAACUGUGAUUUUUUUUAUUUUAAACUGUGAAUUGACAACUUUAAGUUGUGAAUUUUUGUUUAAAUGAUGAACUUACUAUAUUAAGCUGUGAAUUUUGUGUAAUAAAUUAUGAAUUAACUAUAUUAAAGUGUGUUUUUUUAUAAAAUUUUUGUUUUCUUAUGAAAUAUAAGAUUAAAGAAGCAGUAUACACAUAAAUGAUUUUAUCUAAUUUUGAAGAAAGUAUGUAAAAUUUAAAAUAUGAAUAUUUGUGUAAAUAAAAUUUGAAAGAAGAAUUAACAUAUAGCUCUAAAGUUAUACAUGUAGGUUUUAAGUUGAGAUUGUGACUUUGAAUAUAUAAUUUUUUAGCAUUAAAUUGUAAAUUUACUAUAUUAAGAUGUGAGUUUUGGGUAUUGAAAUGUGAACUGAUUGCAUUCAACUACGAAUAUUUAAUGAAUUUUAUGUUAAAGUUUGAAUGAUUUAUGUAUGCAUGUAUGUAUUAAGUUUCUUGUGAAUAUAUUUAUUUUUUGUGUUAUAUUAAUAUGUAAGAAUGUAUUAGUUUUUAUAAGUAUUAUGCAUUAAACUCUAAAUAGUGAAUUAAUUGGUUUAUUAAAUUAUGAAUAUAAUAUUUUAGUUGUCAAUCAAUGAUUUCAUGUACAUAUAUGUUGGAUUAGUGUAUAAGUCCAUAACUAUAAUUGGUAUGUACUUGACCCGAUUUAGCAUGGUCCAUUUGGGUUGCACUUCACCGGAACAAUUUAUAUGGAUAGUCUUUUGAGAAUAGUAUGUUUAUGAUUUCUAUUAAUAUAUUAUAAGUUCUAAUAUAUUAAUAUGGAAUCAUAUUAUUUAAUUAGUAUUGAUCAUGAAUUAAUUUAGAAUUAAGUUAGUGAUCAAAAGGAACUAAUUAAAUGUGGACUCUUAUAUAUAUGAUGGGCCAAGUUCAUUUAGGUUGGGCUAAUCUUGCAUGGAUAGUCCAUGGAGUUUUUAACCAAUGGAUCCUAUGGAAAUGAAAGGUCAUGGGUAUUAGAGUUUACAUGAAUGUAACCCUAAUCCUCCAUACUAUAUAAAGAGGUCCCUGGCACAUUAAAUGGCACUAGUGUGUGAGUAAACAAGAGUGGGCCAAUUUCUAGUGUGCUUACUAUUCUCUCAAGAUUUCCAAGGUGUUUUUGGUGGUUUUUGAUUCCACUUGAGGCUUCCACACUAUUGGAGCUAAGCUCUUAAAGUUCAAGACUUCAAGCUACAUAAAAAGGUAUGUUAUCUAACUAGGCUUUUGUAGUAUAGUUGCUUCAUAUUAUGCUAGUUAGGAUAAAACAUUGGAAUAUUGAAUAUUUACAUGUAUAAUAGAGAAAACAUAGAUCCAAGGUUUAUAGGGUUGCAUGUACACCAUGGGAGUGUUAGAAUGCUCAAAAACCUUCAAUAUCUGCUUUGGAAAGAAUGAUAAUUACGACGGUGGCACAGGUGGUUAGUGGUGGCGUGUGGUAGUUGGUGGUGGCUAUUGUUAGUACUAUUCAUAGUAAAAGGUCGGAAGCGGCUAUGGAGAAGAAGGAUUAGGGUGAAGCAUCAAUGGGUUUUAACCCUCCUACAUUGACUCUUCCUCCGAAAACACCUUCCCUCCAUCGACUUCUCCCUCUCGGUGACAGCAACCGUCCAUCAAUGCUUUCUCUUUAGUCACAAUUCCAACUACCACUCUCUAAAACCUGAAUUCCCAAUUUAUAUCCACCUCCUUCAUUAAUGUAAUUAGAUCACCAAGUUUUCUGGAAAAAUAGAUUUUUUUAAACUCUCUCCUUCGCCUCUUUUACUCCAACAAAAUCUUCAGGUAAUUCAUUUUUUCAACAAGUAAUCAAUGUUGGUAUUUGCAAAAUUGUAAAACUGGUUUUGUUAAUCCCCUUUUUAUAACCAUUGCUUGUUUUUCUUGUAUAAUUUUGGGACACUUCAUACAGAUACUGUUACAUCCUGAUUUUCAAUGCGUGUGUGUAUGUACAGUCAAGCCUUUCCCUUCUAACGAUCCGAAGAAAUAACUGAAUAAUUUGUAAACAACUGGGUAAACACAAAGCUUAGUGAGUUUCCCAAAAUACCAUAUAUCAUAAUACAUAUACAUGCAUACAAACAAUACCAUGCAUAUAUAUAUAUAUAUAUAUAUAUAUAUAUAUAUAUAUACUAUUUGGAAAAUUCACUUUAAACUCCUCAUUAAAUCUAGCCUAAACAUCAUUCUUGUAAGUAGAUCAAUCAACAUUUUGACUGUAAUCACUAAUAAAUCUUAUUUAAAGAUUCCUAAUAACGACCAUGAAUAUAAAUAUAAGUUGCACUUAAAGCUUAGUAAUUGCAGCUUAACUUACAAGAAUUUUUUACCAAAAACCGGAAAGUCGCGGGCAGAAUCUCGACCUGAAAGCUCCUUUUCGGUGGGCUCCUAGAUAACUCAAAGCCUCGCUAAGGUACUCCAAAGAUUUAGAAAGAUCGUACUUAAAGGCUUUAAAUAUCUAGAGAGAUGUGGGAUUUUUUGUGUAAGAAAUGAGGAGAACUCUUCAUCUAUUUAUAGGGUUUAGGGGGGGUGUCGCACCUUAAGCCCCAGACGUGUCACAUGUUUGGCUGAUGUGUCCGGAUUGGGUUGCUGACAUGUGUUACUAUUUCCUUGGUCCACGUCAUCCUGUCGAUGCCUCCUCUGGCAAUACCACGUGUCAACAACUCAUGCAGUGAUGUGUCCUAAUCUCGUGGUGCCACGUCGACGUGUCAGGUAGAGGAAGAGGUUGCCGCCUCGCCACGUGGCAUGCUCUCAGGCCGCCACAUCAUCAAGUCAGGUAUUUUUCGUGAAUCUUUAAAGGGCCAUAACUUUCACAUACAAGCUACAUGUUCGACGUUCUUUAUAUCUCUGGAAUUGCCUCGAUAAGCACUACAACUUUCCUAUAGGUCUCAACAGAUAAUUCCCACUCUAUUUUAAAUUUAGAUUUAGACUAGUUUAGAUUGUUAGAAUUCUUAUUAAAUUUAUAACUUCUUCAUACGAACUUUGUUCUCGAUGUUCUCCAUAUCUAUGAGUUCGUUUUUAUGAUAUCUUAAACUCUUGUUUACGUUUCUAUGACUAAAAAGCAACCAAUCUCAAAUACACUUUUUAUGACACACCUAGUUGUGUCUGGCUGAAUACAAAACUUAGAUAAAUCAUAACUUCCUCAUACGAAGUCAGAUUUGGGUGUUCUUUAUAUCUACAAAAUCGUGUUGACAUCUACUACAUGUUUAUGAUAAUUAUUUUGGCUGAAAUAUAAUAUAUUUAUAUUUUGAAUAUUAUAAACAAAUGAUUAUAUGAAAUUCUACUGGAAAGUGAAAUCAGGGCGUUACAGAUACAUUUGUUUUUGUUUGCACAAUUGAGAAGAUAAAUUAUAUACUCAAUAUAUUGCUUGAAGAGAGGCUUUUAUCAAAAGUUGGGAUCAUAGUGAUUGAUGAACUUCACAUGGUAAUUCAAAUUUACUAUCUUUGAACAUUAUGAUGUAGAUUAUGCAUUUUUUUAAUCACUCAUUGGAAGUGAAUCAAAAUCAAGAAUCAUUUUUUUGUUGUCAAUGCUUGUACUGUUGCAUUUUUUGAAUCAAAAAUCAAUUUUAUAUUCUGUUAUCGAUGAACUCCAGUGUUAUUGUUCAAAUCCUUCCCUUCCCGACUCCUCUCCUUUGGAGACAACAACUCUCUGUCGAUGCUUCUUGUCUAGCAAUGCAUCCAACUCAAGCUCUCUAAAACCUAAAUAUCGAUUCCUCUCCUUUUUCGAGUCUAGACAAUCAUCAAAGUUAAAGAGGUGAGCACCACAUGUUGGUUAGAUUCUUAUGUAGUUUUCUCUUCUUUGUAUUGAUUUUUGUAGGUAGUAGACAAAAAUGACAACCACUGCCACACUGGUAAGAGUUUUUAUUGGAGUCUUUUCUUAUAAUAUCCUUGUUGAUUACAACAAAUAUUAUGUUUGACUUGGGAUUACGGUCGACUGAUAUAUUAUGUUUUCAGGUUUAUAUAUCGUGUCUCUAUAAUUGUCUUGAAUAAAUUUAUUUGUAUUAACUAUUGUUUUUCUUUGUAGUUAUAGUCUUCUAGAUGAUUGAUCAUGUAUUUCAUCUAAUAAGGUUUUUUUGGUUCCCUAUAUAUACCAUCUACAAAAGAAUAAAGCAUGCAUGACAUGUUUUAUUCUUAAUGUAGUAUUCUUGAGCAUUUAUAUGAUUUUAUUUUAUACUUAACAAGUAAGUUAUUUUGUUUUCCCCUUAAGCUAAUUAAGCUAAUUAUGUGACAGUAACAUUUGUUUCUCAUUAUCGGGUGUUAUUCUCAUAUUCUUCAAGUGUUUUAUUCUUUAAGAAUAUUAUGUUGCUAAUGCAUUCUUCUAUUAGAAUAAAAUAAAACAGUAUUCUAUUCCGGUAGAAAGUAUUAUAUUUGACCAUAUGGUAUGCAUUCUAUUAGAAUUACUAAAUUUUGUUUUAUUAUUUGUAAUAUAAAAGCAUUCUCACAGAAAGUUAUUAUUACAAAUUGUGUAUGAACGGAACACGGUGAUCAAGGACCUGAAGGUUGGAUGAUAGUGUGUGGAAUGGAGAUGAACAGCGGUCACCAAAGAAAACAUUAUUUAUCGUUAUAUUCUAACAGAAUAAUAUAUAAUAGAAUGAAAUAUAUAUAUANNAUAUAAAUUGUGUUUCUUUUUUAUUAUUGAAUGUUUCAUUAUCAUAGAAUAGUGAAUAAAGUUUUUUAUUUCUUAAAAUGUGAUGAAAAAAUUAACUUGUAUCCAAAAUUUUGUUAUUCUUCUAGAAGUAAGACUCUUUAUUAGUGCAUGACUUGCAUUCUGGCAAAAUAAAAUCAUAUACGAUUAAAAACUGAAUUAAAUAAAAAAAUCAGAAUUCAAAAUUAAGAUAAUAAAAUAUCCCAUAAAAUCCAAAAAUUUCCUUUUUUAAACUUGUGUUUCUUAAUUUGAAGGUAAUGCAAAUGUAAAAUAUUAAAUUUCUUUUAAUUAAUUUAAAAAUAUUGNAUCUAACGAACAAAAAAUGGUCAUACAUUCACACUAUAUUUGUAGUUCAUAUUUAAUCCUAACUAUAUAUAUAUAUAUAUACACUAGGUGUAAGACCCAUGUAUUACAUGAGUUCAUUUUAAAAAAAAUAAAUAUGAAAUUCUAAACAUUUGAGAAGUUUGCAUUUAUAAGAAAAAAAUAGAAAAAUAUUGAAUUAUUAAAAUUAAAUUGUUUGUUUUUCUUUUAAAUUAAAUAAAUAAUUUAGAUAAAUAAAUAAAGGAAACUAAUGAAACUUUAAUUUAGAAAAUUUAAAAUUAGAAGGAAGUCAAUUGGGUUGGAAUUCAGGAAACUAAAUUGGGGGAGUCUUUGUUGCCGUUCAACGAUGUCAGCUGUUGGGGGGACGUUGAUUGCGGGUUCGAUUAGGUAUUCACUACGGGGAGGUCUGGAGGGAUUAUAACUAUUUGGGAUAACAGAGUAUUUUCGAAGGUAGAGUCAAUAAAAUCUAGAUUCUACAUUGUGACUCUGGGAAAUUUGGUGGGUAUAAAUGGUCUCACUGGCUUUAUAAAUGUUUGCGGGCCACAAUUGGUUAGUGAGAAAUCAAAAGUGUGGGAGGAACUGUUAGCAAUUAAGCGUUCUAGACUAGCUACGUGGAUUGUUAUGGGAGACUUUAAUGUUGUGCGCCGUCCUGAAGAACGUAUCAACUCAACUUUCUGUCACCGUAGUGCAACUGCUUUUAAUCAAUUUAUUCGAAACGGAGAAUUCACUGAUUUAAAGAUGGUUGGUCAAAGAUUCACAUAUUUCAAACUUCAUGGUGCAAAGUUAAGUAAGUUAGAUCGUUUCUUAGUCUGUAAUAACUUCCUGUCCAUCUUUCCCCAGGCCUCCUGUUUUGCAUUGGAUAGAGAUAUGUCAGACCACUCUCCAGUUAUUCUUAGAGCUCGAUGUGAUGACUUUGGCCCCCCUCCUUUCAAGUUGCUUAAUUCUUGGAUGUUAAAAGACGGUUUUGACGAGAUAAUUAUGAAAGAGUGAUCAGAAUUUAGGGGCUAUGGCACACCUAGUGUUGUAAAACUCAUCGAGUUGGCCGAUUACUCCUCCGAGUACACGCUACUCGGCCCCUUACCGAGGCGAGUUACAGAAUCCCGAGUACUCCCCGAUCAGCCCUUACUGAACUGAUUAGUGUUGUCAAACCUUGUCAACUCGGUGAUUAAUAUGUAUAAUAUACUUAACGAUUUAUUAUUUAACACACAUGCACAUGCGAUUAUUACUACAUAUAUAUCUUAAAUUUUCAGUAUCUAUUCACGAUGUGAGACCAUUAUGUGUUUUUCUGGUUUUGUGUAUUCACAUGUAUCUAAUUUCGUUAUAUAUUUCAAUCAACUUAAGAUUUUAACUUAUGAUUUUGACAUAUAUAAGUUCCCUAAAAAUAUUUAUACAUGAAUUAUCGAAUCUGAGUACUCCCGAGUACUCCUGAGUACUCGCUACUCGGUAGUCGGCCGAGCAGGUACCGAGUAACGAGUUCUACAACCAUGGGCACACCAUAUAUGCGCUUGCUGAACAAAUUAAAACAAUUAAAAAUUGCAGUUAGACGCUGGAAGGCAAACACAGUAAAAAUGGAGAAUGCUGAAAUUGAGACAUUGAAAAAAAGAAUGGUUGAAAUUGAAAUGGCAGCGGAAUAUAGACCCUUAACGACAAUAGAAGUGGAGGAAAGAACUAACGGNNNNNNNGUUAAGAUCGUGGAGCAUGCAACAGUAAUGGCUUUAAAUCUAAAACAAAGUUCAAAACUUAAAUGGGAGAUGGAAGGAGAUGAAAAUACUCGAUUCUUCCAUGGUUAUGUCAACAACAGAAACAGAAAAAAUCAUAUACACGGUAUCAUGGCUGGUGGGAUCUGGACGAGUAAUCCGAUCGAAAUCAAACAGGAGGCGAAAAAAUUCUUUGAAGAUAAAUUCUCGGAAAAAUGGCCAAAUAGACCAGUAUUCUGGAACACUGGUUUUCGUAAACUUUCGGACUUGGAUGCUCGUAUCCUCGAACAAGAAUUUACCUUGGAAAAAAUAAAAGCGGCAGUAUGGUCGUGUGGUGGGGAAAAAUCCCCAGGGCCGGAUGGUUUCACUUUUAAGUUUUUUAAAAAAUAUUGGGAGCUGCUGAAAGAUGAUGUAUUGGCGUUAGUAAAGUUCUUUGAAGGUGGUGGUAAACUAUCAAGAGGAUGCAACUCUUCAUUUAUUUCUCUUGCAGUUAAGUCUAAGGAUCCGAUUCACUUUUGUGAUUUUAGACCAAUAAGUCUGAUAGGAUUAAUAUAUAAAAUAAUUGCUAAGUUGCUGGCUCUUAGACUCAAAUUGGUCAUUGGGCACGUCACUGAUGAAAUUCAAUCUGCAUACGUUGAAGGAAGGAAUAUUCUCGAAGGCCCAAUGAUUGUAAAUGAAUUGUGCUCCUGGGCAAAGGCUAGAGGAAGAAAGAUGCUCCUAUUUAAGGUGGAUUUUAACAAAUCCUUUGACUCGGUUAAUUGGGCUUUCCUGGAUUCUAUCAUGGAGCAAAAGAAUUUUGGGGUGAGAUGGCGGCUUUGGAUUCGUAACUGCUUAGAAUCCGGAAGAGCUUCGGUGAUCAUCAAUGGAAGCCCUACAAAGGAAUUCUCAAUGUCUAAGGGUGUUAGGCAGGGGGACCCAUUAUCCCCCUUCCUUUUUAUUAUUGCGAUGGAAGGAUUAAACUUGGCCAUGAAGAUGGCAGUGGAGAAAGGUGUGUUCGACGGGAUAAAAUUCCCAAAUUCUAAUUUGUGUGUGUCACACUUAUUUUAUGCAGAUGAUGCAUUGUUCAUUGGAGAAUGUUCUAGGCGAAACAUAGCUAAUUUGGCUAGGAUCUUACGAUGCUUUCACAUCUCAUCUGGAUUAAAAGUGAACUUCUAAAAGUCAAAAUUGUUUGGUGUGGGUGCUCCCCUCAUGGAAAUCUCGAAUUGGUCUGCCCCUUUUGGAUGUGAGCCAUCAUCGAUUCCAUUUACUUACUUGGGUAUCCCUGAUGGUGAGAAUAUGAAUAAAAAGAAUGCAUGGAGGCUGAUCAUUGAAAAGUUCCACUCCAAGUUGUCUACGUGGAAAGUGAAAGCAUUAAGCUUUGGUGGUAGAGUAACACUUGCAAAUGCGGUGUUGGGUAAUCUCCCAACAUAUUUUAUGUCUAUAUUUGUAAUCCCAAAUGGCGUUCUAGACACACUUGAAAAAAUUAGGAGGAAAUUCAUUUGGUGUAGAGAGUAUAACAAAAAGAGUAUUUAUUGGGUCAAAUGGGAUAAAAUUAUAGCACCAAAGAAGGUUGGAGGCAUUGGGCUUGGGUCCAUUAAAGCUACGAAUAUUUCUUUGUUAGCCAAAUGGAUGUGGCGCUUGAAAGCGGAUGAAUCCUCUAUGUGGUCCAAAGUAAUUCGAAGUAUCCAUAAUCUAGAAGGGAGGCAUUGGUGUGUUUUCGCUAAUAGAUCCAACACCGGCGUGUGGAAAAAUAUUAUAAAAACACGAAAUCGUUAUAUGCAAUAUAACAUUGAUCCAAAGGAAAUUGUGUCCUGGAAUUCAAUAGAUCGGUGUUGGGAAUCUGACAUUGUGAGAGAUGGAAGGUUUAUGGUCUGUCUGUUACGGGAGAGAAUAGAAUUGGCGGGAUAUAUCGUCAACGACGGACCAUUUGCUUGGGAUAAGUUGACUCCCUUUAAGAUUCUAUGUUUCAUCUGGAGAGCAAAACUCGGUAGAAUUCCAUCUGCUGUGGAAUUAAAAAACAGGGGUAUCAUAAUUCCAAAUACUAUGUGUGGUGUAUGCAAUUCAGAGGAGGAGACAUGCGAACAUAUUUUGUUAACUUGUCCUGUGGCGAAGGAAAUAAUGGAUUCGAUACUGGUGUGGUGCGAGAUUAGAUGUGACAGAUUUCUUUCGGUGGAUAAUAUGCUCUUGUUCAUCUCACGGUGGUCGAAGUGUAAAUAUAAAAGAAGACUGCUCAAUGCAAUAUUAUGUGGAGCUUUAUGGUUCAUAUGGAUGGAUAGGAACAAAAGGAUUUUUGAAAAAAUUCCAAUAGUUUCGGCGAACACGUGGAAAGAAUAAAAGCAACAACAUUCAUAUGGUGCAAGCAUAGAGGUUUAUUCAAAAAAAUGGAUUGGAGAGUUUGGAAUAUUAGUCUUUUUCUCAGUUUGUAAUUGUUUUCAAUUUCCCUGUUGUUCUUCGUUUGUUUUCUCAUUUUUCUUUUGUACUGUUUGUUUGUUCUCCACAUCUCCUUGAUGUGGUUUUCUUAUAUAUUUGCCGUUUUCCAAAAAAAAUGAAAAAAAAAAACCAAAAAAAAUGAAAAAAAAAACAUAAUUUUAUUAAAUUUAUUGCAAUUAGUACAUUUACAUAUUAUGUGGAAAUUAAUAAAAUGAAAAAAAAAACCAUAAAAUGUCAUAUGGAAAAAAAUUAUUUGAAAAUCACCACAAAAUGACAUGUGGCAAAAUCAAUAAGAACAUGACAUGUGGCAAAAAAGUUCUUUAUUUACUAGGGNAUAUAGCGUGUGUGUGUGUGUAUAUAUAUAUAUAUAUAUAUAUACACACACACACACACACACGCUAGGCAAAACCUCGCGCGUUGCGCAAGAAUGUCGUUAACCGGUUAAAAUAAUUGUGGGUAAAAUUUUAAAAUAUGUUGAAAUUUAACAUUUUAUUCAUCUUUUUGGGCGUUAACUGAAUUAACAAACAAUAAAAAAAUCAUUAAUUGGUAUUUUAAUACUAUCUAAUAUAGUCGGACGUUUUUUAAACAUUACUUUUAUAUUUUUAUACCAAUACAUAUUAUAAUUUUUAAUAACAUUGAUAUAAUUAAAAUACUAAUUAACAUUUUCUUUCUAUUAUCUAGUAAUAUUUUUUAGACAAAAAAUAAAGUUUUUUUGAAUGAAAUAUUGAUAAAUAACCAGAUAGACUUUGUAUUAUACUACUUAUAUUAGACAAAAACAUCCAAAGUUUUAGAUAUGACCUUUCAAGUAUUGAACAUUGAAAUUAUGAGUAAAAUUAUAUAAAAUAUUUCAUUAAACAUAAAUAUCAUCAAGGGUUUUAGUAUAUCGAUUAGUAAAUAUGAUAUUAAUUUUCAAAUACAUUUUUGGAAAACCUACAUUUGAUUUUGUUAGUACACUGAGAACCCCCUUCCGUACUUUGUACCUGAAAAACUAAAAUGAAUAGGAAUAUAAAAAUAGAUUAUACAAAGCAUGAAUCAAAAUAAUUAAAAAGGUAGUUAGAUCUUCUCAACACCGGUUAACGAUCAUCUGCCUCUUUAGUGUUAUCGAUCGUAGUAUCUAAAGUUGAACCAACCCUCCUACAUAUGCAUUCUUUUCGGAUUUCAUGAAAUUUACAUAACAAAUAUUAAAAGAGAAGAGAAAAAAUGUAACAUCCUAGUCGCUUAAAAAUUUACCAUUACAAUGUGAGAAUCAUAACCAAUAUCACAUUGGUGAUCAUGAAGAAAGGUUCAACCAAAGUGAAAAAUAUUAUAAGAAAUGACGCAAUCCCCAAUGGAGUUCAAGGUAUUCUUGGGUGCUAAUAACACUCUAUAAAGCCAUAACUUUAAGAGAAGAAAAAGAAAUAUGAGUAGAAAAGCAGGGAAGUAAGGUUAUUAUAUAGCCAAAAACAUUUCUAUGUUUUAUUUCUGUUUAUGUUAGUCGUAUUUGUAUUUAACUCGUAUUAUGGACAUUGUAAUUAAUGGUAACCAUUAAUUACUUGAAAGGUGAAAUAUUGUGAAUAUUGUGCAAAAAUUAGACUUAUUUUGAACCAUAUUCAUUUAGAUAGCUUUCUAUGAUUUUCAGAUUUUUCACUAUUAUCUUUCUCUUACAUCAAAUAUUUAUGUCGAACACCUAUCAUGCUAUAUAUAUUAUAGUUGCAAAUGAAAAUUAUAUAAGAGAAAAUGAUGGUGAAAUUUCUAAAAAUAUUGGAAAUAAAUCAAGUUAGAAUUUGAAUUUUAGAAAUUUUAGAUGAUUAUCAUGCAUAUAUGAUACAAAAGUAACGUAGUAUAAUCGGUUUGGAUACCUAAGCUUAUAUACCUUCUAGGGUAUAUUCAUUUUUCUUAAAUAUAUACAUANGUGUGUGUGUGUGUGUAUAUAUAUAUAUAUAUAUAUAUAUAUAUAUAUAUAUAUAUUAGGUGUGAGACCCGUGUAUUAUACGGGUUUAUAAAAAAAUUAAUAUCAACUUGUGAAUAUUAAACAAUUAUUAAAGUAAUACUUUUAAAUAAUUAAAAAGACUUUGUUGAAUAAGUAUGUAAUUGAACUCAACGUACUAAAAUUAGUAAUUAGGUAUUCUAAUUUAUUAUUAUAAAUCACAAAUUUCCAAAUACUUCUUUGAACAUAAUAUUAGAAGUUUUAUUGGUAAGGUUACUAUUAUUGUCUAAAAUUAAUAUUUUCAAUUUGUCUUUGCUUUUAGCUCUGGAAAAUACAACGUAAAACUGCCCAUGAGUAAAUAUUAGUUGUCUAAAAAACAAACCAACAUUUGAUAGCGAUUGUCCUUGACUUUUAUUUAUUGUCAUGGAAAAACAUACAUCAAGUGGAAAUUAUCUUCUUUGAAAUGUGAAAGGAAUCCUUUUAUCCGAAUGGGUUAAUGACAUUUUUGGAAUAAACAUACGGUUUCAUAUAUUACUUCCAGAAAUUAUCUCUACUUCUAUAACAUGCUUACCUAAUAUUAUAACUCGUAACCUCAACAAACCACAUUUAUUAUCAAUAUUCAUCAAUAACAUAACCAAAACAAGGACUUUUAAUACAAAUUUUUGAAUCAACAAACUUGAAGGUUUAAGGUCAUUUAGAACAUCAGGUGAGUAUAAAGUUUCGUCAAAAAUCAUGUACAAAAUCUGAAUGACAAAGACUAUCCGAACAUAAGUACUCUUUUUUAUCCUAGAAAUAAUGAUAACAAACAAUUGUUUAUUUCUUGAACGACUUCAUUUUUUGGUGCAAGGAUUGUUCUUUAUUGAAAAAACAUCGGAUUCUUGGAAUUUUCAAUAAUACAAGGACAAAAAAAUGUAGUUAUUUAACCAAUAGAAUCUGAUGAAUUAAUAAUGAGAAGAUCAUUCGAGAUAUCAAUAAUUGUCUCACCAUCGUUUAAACCACCAAGCUUUCCUUCUACUAUAUCUAAAAUCUAGUUUUGAAUGUCGUUGUUUCUUCAAUAUCAUAUGUUUGAAUACUUAACCUCAUAUUUUUUUUGUUAAUCUUAAUACUUUUCAAUUUGACCAAAUAUAGGAGGAGCUUAAUGAAGCAUUCACGAUGUCUUGUCCACUUCCGUUAGGAACAACAUGUAGAAUCUAUCUAAAAUCACCUCCAAAAACAAUUGGUUUUCCUCCAAAUGACAGUAUUGAGUUAUUCAAAAAUCUAUCUAAUUCUUCAAAUGGAUGCUUGUGAUUCAUAGGUGGCUCAUCCCAUAUAAUCAAUAAUGUUUUUUUAACAAUUCGGCAACAUCACUAUCGAGCGUUAUAGAAAAAAAAAGAAUCAUCGAUAAGAUUUAAAGGGAUUAUAAAGCGAGAGUGUGUUUUCCUACCUCCUGUCAAUAAUAAUGAAGCAAUAUCACUUGAAGCAACAUUUAACACAAUUUCACCUUCUGAUCAUAUGGCAGCAAAUAAUGUUUUCCAAAGAAACGUUUUCCUAGUACCUCCAUAACCGUAAACAAAAAAGACGUCUCUUUUCUUUUGUUGACUAUUUGUCAUAAUAUCAUCAAAAACACUUCUUUGUUCAAUUGUUAAUGAAUCAAGUAGCUGAUGAAACUCGUUCUAUAUUGUCGUCCUGUCAAAAUCUACCUCCUCGCUAAUUAAGCGGUUAUUUGAAGAAGAUACAAACUCGUGAUCAGGGUAAGGCAUUCCAUCAAAACUUUUAAGGCUUGAGUUUUUCUCGAGUAAAAAAAAUUAAUUUCAUAAAGUCUUACGUUCUUAACUUGAUCCUCAGAAAAGCAUAAACUUGUAGAAAUUAUAAGUUACUUUCUUCAAGAUAACUAUCUAAAGGUAAAACGUACUAAUAAUGUGACAUCCCCAAUUUCACGGCCAGAAAAGACCGAUUUGUUUAUGAUUUAUUUUAAAAUCAGAGUGAUCGUUUAAAGAAAACGGUUGUGGAAUUUGUUCCCAAAAUAAAAUAUGAUAACCAUUUAUCAAAACAUUUCUCAAAGAGAAUGUAUUUUCAUUAAAUAAUAAAACCUCGGGAUGUCAUGUUCCGAUACAGACCAAAAGCAUAAACAAUAUAAAAUAGACCUUACAAUAGUUAUUUAUAACUACUGAUCUAUAAUCCAAAACCUCUCGUCAAGUCCACCAACUUAUACUCUUGUGUCAUUACCUAUAAUGCAAAGAAAACUGAGUGGGUCAGGCUUGGGAGCCUGGUGAGCAUAUAGGGUUUUCAACCCAUAAUAAUACAAUUAUUAUAUUCAAUCAUUAAACAAACAACCCAAUUACCCAUCCCCAUUAUAUCCUUUACUCUUAAGGUUUUACCCUAAGAAUCAACUAUCAUUUAUUCAUUCACUCCUAAGGAUUGACCUAAGGAAUUGGCACGAAGUCCAUUGCUGCCAAAGUUUAUCUAUCAGGUACUAAAUCCAUAGUUACCAGCGUUCGUCUCUACGGUACUAAAUCCAUAGCUACCAGGGUUUGUCUAUACGGUACUAAAUCCAUAGCUACCAGGGUUUGUCUAUACGGUACUAAAUCCAUAGCUACCAGGGUUUGUCUAUACGGUACUAAAUCCAUAGCUACCAAGGUUUGUCUAUACGGUACUAAAUCCAUAGCUACCAAGGUUUGUCUUUCGUCUCAUCCUCAAACUCAUCCGUCAUCACACACCAACUAAUUCGUCUACCCACGUUCUACCCAACAUAUUUGUAGAUAUAACAUACAUAUACAGUUUAGAUCAUUUAAAAACCUGUAUAAAACAAUCAUUCAACCACCAUCUCAAGUAAAUCAACAACAUAUAAACACAUAGCACGUAUUUCAUAGCAAAUACUCCAUAUCUAUGUGGUAGAAGAAAGUUACCACACACUCACACAUAUAAACAACAAUAUACUUAAUAUAUUCAAACAAUACUUGUAUUAUUAUCGUGUUUAUGAAAGGGACUAUACACUCACUUGAUCAGAAGAUGAUCGGACAGCACUACGGCUUGUAGAAGUAGUAUUCUUCGGUGAAACCGGGAUCACUUCACNUGAUACCGGGGCUUCGGGGUAUUUCUGGCACGCAAAUCGAGGUAAAACGGGAGAGAGAAGAGAGAAAAUAGCAACCCUAAACGGCUGGCCCUUCAAAUCUAUUUAUAGGGCAAAUUUGGCCCUUGCCACGUCGUGGCAACCUUUUUCCACGUCGUGGGCUUGGUCGUCACUGCAUGCGUCAUCCCAAGUUGCAUCUGGGGGCCUUCCGGAGGUGACAGGACACUUGCCACGUCGUGGCAACCUUGUUCCACGUCGUGGUCUCUGACAGUUUUGGGGUUUCGCGCCCCGAACUUCAGAAAUUCAUAACUUUCGCAUACGAACUCUGUUUUCGACGUUCUUUAUAUCGCCGCGAAGGUGAGAUUAUGCUCUACAACUCUCACUUAGACUCCAUUGGCUAUUUUUGACUUUAUUUUUAAUAUAUUAUAAUUAUAUUACUUAUAUAUUAUUUUUAGUAGGCCGGGACAGGAAAACUCCGUUAUAAACUCAUAACUUCUUCGUCUGACGUCCGUUUUCGUCUGUCUUUCCUUCGUUGCACUACUAUCGAUGAGAUCUUCAAUUCUCAUUUAGAUCACUAAGGAUAGAUAUCUAUCAACCUUAAAUUCACUAUUUACGUCGCGCUGGGUCGCGCUAGGUCGUGCCGGUUCUGUCGCGAAACUUCGACAGGUCAUAACUUCUUCGUUAUAACUCGGAUUUUGGCGUUCUUUAUAUGCACGGAAACCUUGUGACAUAUACUAAAACUUGGUUAAGAUUAAUCCUUCUAAAUAAUCUUCCGUCAAAAAGUCAUUUUUGAUGUUUAUCGUCUCUAAAUUGACUAGCCCUGAUCUACGGGCGUUACAAAUAAUAAUAAGUGUAACAAUAUUUUAUUAAAUAUAUAAAAAAUAUAGUAAUUUUUAUUGAAUAAGUAUAAUGUAUUAUGUAAGAAAUAUUAAGUAAAACAUUAAUUUAAAUAAUGAUAAAUAUCAUGUGACUUUAAUCGGAGUUGUUGAAUGUAGAGAAUUCCAUCUGAAAAGUAUUGCUAAGUUUUUUUUCCGAACAAAACACGAUCUAGACUAGGGAUGAGCAAAAGGACCAGGUAACCGGCUGAAACCGGUCCCAGAACCGGCACCCGAUAGAAUCGGUCGAACCGGGACAUAUACUACAAUUUCGUGAAUAUUUGAAACCGGGACCCAGUAAGAACCGGCUGUUGGAACCGGCCCAAAACCGAGAACCGGACCGGAUACAAAAAAACUCAUGUUGCUUGAACUUCUUUUGGUCUUUGGACGUAAGUAAGACCGGUUUUUGACUUUUUUGGUUUUUGAUUUUUUUUAGUAUGACCGGUUUUGAGGGUUAAAAUGUUAAAAUAAUUUUACUAAAUAGAAAUCAAGUUUAAGAGGUCUUAAACAUUAUUGUCUUAAAAGAAAAGAUUAAAGCAACCCCAACUUCACAAUCAAAUUUAAUACAUUGUUGUUUAUUUGUCUUAAAAGGAAAAAGUAUAGAAGAACAUUACGAUAUCUAAUUUGAGGCUUACUAGCAAAAACAAUUAGAAAUCUAUUGUAAAGAAACUACACAGUUAUCUUCCUAAUGUGUCAUAACAUGUAAAUAUGUAAUAUAGUAGAUAACAAUAUAUAGUUUGCGACGAUUAAAGAAUAUUCAAUAUUUUAUGUAUUUAACGAUAAUUUUAUAUAUAACAGGUAACAAUUUUUCCAAUUGCAUGCAACCAUGUAAGGAGAAAAAUCCUCACCCAUGAUUUUCAAAAACAUUAUUAGAAUAAAAAAUUUGGAAUGUUCAUAAUAUACCGGUUCCGAAAUCGAAAAACCGGCAAAAACCGGACCCGACAUCGGAACCGGUAGAACCGUCAGGUCAGUUCGGUUCUAAACUUUGGCUGAAGCCGGUUCCAGUCUGGUUCGGGCCGGUUCCGACCGGUCCGGUCCUUUUGCUCAUCCUUAGUAUAGACAAACUAUUAAAUUUUAGCAUAGUUGCAAAUAGAUAACGCAUAUAAAAUCCAAAACCUGAAUGACUUGCUUCCUUAAUUUCAAGUGAUAGCAUGUGUAAUAUACAUUUACAAACAAUGAGGAUGAUGAGGGCAAUUAUGUCUAUUUACAUAUUAAUUCUAAAUCUCUGCGACUUUCUUAACCCCUUUCAAAAUCUGAUGCCUGAUUUUCAAAAUUAAAUAUCUACAUAUAACUUUUUCAGUUUUUUUUAGUAAACAAUGAUGUUUAAAAAUUAUGGCAUUCCUUCGUAGUUAGACUAUAAGUCUUUCUCUUUUUAUUUGUCUAUUAGAAAUUAUGACAAGCAUAUUCAUAAUAUUUAUUUAUUUGCAAAUUGUUUCAUAAAACAGUAGUUUUCAUAAGAUUUUAUAUCUUGUCUCCUUCUUAUAUUCUUUAAAUAUGCAUAACUACAAAGAGAAACGAAUGUGAUCAAUAUUCCAUAGAAUGAGUAUGCAUAACUAAACAUAUUUCUUGAUCGUUUAGCUGCAAAGACAAUAUUUUACUCCACACUGAGAGAAUCCACAAUGCAAAUAGUAUAAGAGUUGAAUAUGAUUGAAUAAGAGUUGAAAGGAGUGUGGGUGAUGACAUGGAGUAGAGUUGGAUGAAAGAGUUGAAUGAUCAUUGAAUGGUUCAAUAGAAUGAAUAACGUGGUGAUUAGGAUUGAAUAUGUAUUUAAUGGGUUGUGGGUGAUAUUUUAUAGAUGUUUAAUGGAUGAUGUGACAAUCCAUUGAACUCUAUAGAAUUCAAUGGAUUGUGGAUACCCUGAAUAUCACACUCAUCCCUCUUUAUAUGCAACAUAGACUCAAUGCAUUUCCAGAGAUCAUAAAAAGGUUGGAACAGAAAAAGACUAAGACUACACCUGAAGCUCUUUUCACUCAAUGCUUGUUGAAGAGGCUUCAUGGCUUACAACAAAAGCAUCACAUAUAUCAAAAUAUGUAUUUGAUUCAAGGUUCUAAAUAAUGUAAGGCGUGACGUGGCGACAAUGUCAAGUCUUAAGGCGGCAAUUUUGUAUAUAAUUCAUAAUUUUAUAUAUUUUCUACNUAUUCAUUUUUAUAUAUAUAUAUGACUUAAGACGACAUUUUGUUAAAUCUUAACAGUAAAUACAAGUUUUGGAGUCAUGAUGAAACAAUAACAAGCUUUUUAGAACCUUGAUUUGAAUUCAAACUCUUUUCAUUUGAUUUGUGAGACACGAUGUUAGAAUUUCUUUUUAUUUGGAUCAAGACUAAAAAUGCGAGAUUUGAAAGCCAAAAAUACGGUCUAUUAUCUUAUAAAAACUUAGAUCAAAUUUAUGAAUCUCACCAAAUUAUAAAGACAAUGUUUGUAAUUUACUCUUUAGAAAAAUGAGUAAUCAUUUUGUCCUAUAAAAGGCAAAUGUUUGUUUAAAUUGAUUUCCUAUUUUGGUAUUCUUGUGAUGGUUUUUUUAUCACAUCAAGAAUGUAAUAAUUAGGCUUCAAGGUACUAUUCAAAAUUAAAAAUAAUAAUAAUAAUCUAUAAAAUAAUUUAAGCCAAACAAGAGGAGACAAGUUUUAUAAAGAAUGUCACCUUUUGUGAUUGAAAAACAGUAAGAAUCUAACAAAGUUGAUAGGAAACACAUGGGACGUUCGGAAAUGAUAUUUUCCCUAACUUUAACUUUUCUCUUUCAUUAAUACAUUGUCAAAAAAAAGUAGGCCAAAGUACAAUCAGAAGAAAAUCGGAGGGUUUCAAAAGUAAAUAUGGGUUCCAUCAUUGUACCCAUUUUCUACCCCCUUCAUCUCUCAUCUACUCAUGUGUGGGGUUCCCUGGGUAAGUAAAACAGUAAACACCAACUAGGAAUCCCCAAUUUUACUGUUUUAUUUUGCAUUUACACCCCAAGAUUUUAUAUAACUUGAUGAAAACCCCUCUUUUUUUUUUUUUACCUUGCAAAUAGUAGGCAAAAUCAAGAUGGUUCCUAGUUUUGUCAUAUUAUUGAGCUUUAUAUAUGUGGUGGUUAAGGAUUAGGUAAAUAUAAACGUUAUAGUUUGAUGAAAAUAAGAAGCAACCAUAUGUAAUCAGUAAUAACUAUAGUCUACUCAUAUUAUUUUAAUUUGAAAUAUGUUUAAAUAUGUGAUCAAUUUCAUACAAACUUAUGUGAUAGUUUAUUAGUUGCUUUUAAAGACACUAUAAUGCAUGUAAAUCAUAAUGUCCAACCUAUUUAAUUAUAAUAUUCAUGAUUUCCGGAAAACAUCAAUCUCAAUUGAAUUGUGAAAUCACUAUGAUAUGAUAUUUAUAUUCAAACUUUAGUUUUAUUUUUAUGAAUUACAACAUACUUCGAUGCAAUUAAGGACAUAUUCAUCGCCAUAGUAACUUUCUCCACACGAGUUUUACUAGACAAACUUCAUUCUUAAAUUUAUAACUCGUGUUUUUAGUGUAUUAUGUAAUGUUUCUAGUAGAUUUAACACUUUGUAAAUUUAGAUAAUGAAUAAAAUAGAUUAUGAAUGUCUUUAUAAAUCGAUCUAUUACUAUCAAGUGCAAUUGGUGAAGACUCAAUAAUAUAAGGGGUGCAAUUUGGGAAAAGAAUAGAGUGGUGGAAAGAAAAGAAAAGAAAAGAAAAAAGGAAGGUUAAUUAUGGAAAGGGUGUCACGGGUUGGUUUUCUACAAUCAUGCAUACAUUUCACAUCUCAGACCAAUCAAAUACACGUGCAUUUCGCAUCAUUUUUCUAUUUUUAGAUAAAUAUUAAGGAAUAUAAUAAUAUUAUAUACAAACUAAUAAAUAAAACAAUUUUCAACAAUUUGUUUUUCAUGAUUUAUACUAAUACUUAAGCAAAAACAUGUUGCCUUUGACAACAAAUUUUUUAUUCGGACUGUUCAUUUUGAAUCAGUUUUGAUUGUUAAUCGCUAUAAAUUAAUUAUUUCCUUUUAUUUAACUUUUAAUAUUUUACUUUUAUUUUUAUUCUUUGUACAAUUAUCAACUUCAGUAGAACCCCACCCCUACAUUAGCGGACAUCACAUCACCAACUCGUUUUAUAAUUAUAAGAAUACUUACACAAUGAUUAUUGGUUGUUCAAAAAUUAUAUUCACACUCAUUGAUAUUUUUUUUUUACAAUUUUAAUCUUAUAUUUAAUUUUCUUUGCGUUAGUGAUCCUUAUCGUUGAGGUGGCUGAUAUAAAAUACUUAAAAUACCUUUCUCAUAUUUUUAUAUUAAGAUUUGGUGUUCAAAUUAAUAGUAAAUUACAAUUAAAUGANNNNNNNNNNAUAUAUAUAUAAAUUAAAUGAUUUUGGGCCCACCUCCACGUUGGGGUGUGAAGUCUUGACCGAAGUGUGCUCUCGGUAGAGAAGGUGCUCUUAGGAAGAAAAGAUUUACUGACAAGAUAAUGCUAAGUCCUAAGUGUCUGCGCUCGUCGGGGAUGCACUCCAGGCAUCUAGAUGUGACACGUUGGAGCGUCAUCUUGGAAUCAAGAUGCUUCACUUGGAGCUUGAUAAACAACCUUGGAAGUAGGAUGCACCCCUCGGAGGAAGAUGCAAUCCUAUGUGCAUGGUAUAUGACCAUGCAUCCUCAAGACUGGAGAUUCUAGAUGUACAUGCAUUGUGUCACUUGAUUGGUUGAAAAUUAGGACAUCUCCUUCAUGAGCUAAUUACGGGUGAGCCCGACCCAUCAUAAUUAGGGUUUUCCAUGAGUACCUAUAAAUAAUCACAUAUCUCCAUCAUUAUUCUUUGUUAGUUUAUGUGGACAUAUUCAAGAGAGAAGUCAUUGUAAUAGCACAUCAUAUGGAGCAGUUUGUAAGCAAGGGAGAUUGUUUUGUUUUGAGAGCUCAAGUGAGGUGCAACAUUGUGAGUGAUUGUAAUUGUUCUUGAAAGUUAAUAAAAUCAUCUCUCUCUCUCUCUCUCUCUCUCUCUCCCCCCCCCCCCCCCCCCCCCCCCCCCCCUUUUUCUCUCUUUUGUUNNNNNNCCGCGCGCGCUCUCUCUUUUGUUCGCUUGUGGAAGUAGGUUAUUUGACCACACCAUGUUAAAAAAUGUGUCCAUUUUUUAUUUCCGUUUUCAGAAGUUUUAUUCAGCAAGUUUUACCAAAGUUCAUUUAUUAUUUGUCUAAAGUGAUUAAUUUGUUUUGUUGAAUUACCCAACAAAUUGGUAUCAAAAUUAUGGUUGAAUAUAAGAAAGUUAAGAUUGACAAAUUUGAAGGUCAUGAUUUGAGAUUCCGGAGAAUGAAAAUUGAGGAAUAUUUAUACCAAAAAAAAUUACACGAACCAUUGUUUGGAAAGAAACCCUAAGCAAUGAAGCAAAGGAGACCUGGUGUGGUGAAAUUAUUUUUUGAAACAAAUGUAGCAUACAAUAUUAUCAAUGUGAAAAACUAGAUUUUCUGCAAUGAAACAAUCCCUCUCCCAUCUCCUCAUAUUUUUUGGUGUUUAGUCUUUUAGGUGUGAGCCUUUAGAGACAUCCUUAUUUUAGGUACUACAUCCUUCCAGAAGCAAUCAAGAAUUCAAGAUAUUUAAGGAAAUCAAAAGUAAAUACGAUUUUAGUUCAAGGGUUAGUAAUCAUAUCUCUCUUGGUAGUUCAAAUUCAUAGUUUUGAAAGUAGGUUGAUAUAAUAGUAAAACCUAGAUUUAGGGUGCAUGUAUACCUAAGAUUAUUAUUAAUUUCUUCUGUUGCCUAAAUUUUGUGUAUAGAUGCACAGAAAACCAUUUAUUCGUUUUAGAGCCAUUAGGUUUUAGUUAUAAGAACUACUUGAAAAAACUAAGAGAAUCGAAAGAAGCAUGCUAAUUGUAGGACGCGGCAUGCCUGUUAGAACAUGAAGAGCUGAUCCUUAUGAAAUCCAAGAUGAAGGAGUUCUGAAAUGAAGAUUUUCGACGUGAAGAUCGUUCCGAAGUGAAGACUAUUCCGAGAUAGAGUGUUUUUUUGAAACAUUUUGUGUCUGUAAUGCAUUUUGUUGUUGAAAGUACUAUGUUGUAAUGUUCUUAUUGUUUUCUAGUAUCGUACAAGAGACAAGAUCAGCAGCAACGACUGUGUCAUUCCGUUGAUCUUCAGAAGUCUCUCAGUUCAUGCGUACUUUAUCAGAUUUGUCUUUGAGUUACCCCUUAACUAUUUAAGGAGGUAUCUUCCUUUGUAUCAAGAAGAGAAGUGUGCACCAUUUUCACUUUAAUCAAGAAUCAUUCAGUUAAUCAUCAUAUCUUACAUUCUUCUUGUUCUUAAAUUACGUUACAUUGUUCAUACGUAUUACUUUUCUAUAUUUGAGCACUUUGUUGAUUAUCUCUAUUCUAAUAUAGGACUGGUUUACCAAAUUUGAUUGUAUCUUCAUUACAAGCAAACAUUGAUCUUAAGUUCAUUCAAGGUUUGAGUUCUCAAACAUUGACCGCGCAAAUCCUUUCAUUCACAAUUGGUAUCAGAGACUAAGUGGUUGUCAUUUGAAUCAAUAAGAACAAAUUAUAGUUUAUUGUUGAUUACCUAGGUAUCUAAAUCAUUUAUGUAUUCAGGAUCAAAGUUCUUUUAUAUGCCACUUCAGCUCUAAUAUCUUAACUUCAAUGGCUUCUUCUAAUCAAUCUCAACAGGUGUACUCAAUGCAUAUAGCAAAUAGCGUGGAUUGCCCAUCGCGUGCCCCAUUCUAGUUGUUGAAGUGUAUGAUCACUGGAAGGUUAGAAUGGAGAGAUUUUUUCCUGGUAAAGAAAAAGGUGAAGAAAUAUGGACGUUAGUGAAAGAAGGUCCUCAUGUUCCUGUUAGAAUAUGCUAAGGACUGUUUGGAUGAAGUUCCUCAAAAACCAAAGGUGAAAGACUCUGCCUACUAUGCUCGUAGAGCACAAGAACUUGUUGAAAGUGAAAAGGAUUUUGUCACUACGAUUUCAAGGAAUGUUGAUGGGUAUUGGUUAUCUGGUGAUGAGGGUGAAGGAAAAUGUAACAACGUAAAUUUUUAAAACAAAACUUUCAUUUAAAAUCAUAUAAUUCUCAUAACACGUUUAUAAAAAUCUUAGUUAUUUAAUUUACAAAUGCAACUCCAUGUUUGUUUGAUUACAAAUCCAGGAUCUUCGAAACAUAACUCUUUCACUGGUGUGUACAAUCAAGUCGGCGCCUUCCCGUUAUCCUGAGAAAAACCUGAAACACAUAACACAUAACACGGUAAGCACGAAGCUUAGUGAGUUCUCAAAAAUACCACAUACAAAAAAAUUAGCCACUCGAGGCUAUAACUCUGUAUGACCCUCUGGUCAAUGUGUCUCAGUGGGACCCUCUAGUCCCAUAACUCUAGUGGACCCUCUGGUCCUAACUCUGUGGACCUUUCAGUCCUAACUCUGUAAACUCUGAAUCAUACAUAGCAUAAAUCACAUAGAAAUAAUGCAAUGUAUCACAUCAUACAAAUAGCAUAUAGGAUACUCUAUCACACAACUCUGAUUACCACUUUAGGUAAAGUAUAGUGAGAAGACUCAUCUCGCAUGAUGAACAACCUUUAGCAAUGUUGCUACUAAACACUGUCCACUAACUAUGUGUCAAAGCCCAUAAUUAACCUAAUUAGGAGCUAAGUCCAACCCUCACUCUUAAGGUCUAAGGUUGUUCAAUAUCCAACCCAUUAACGACCUAAAACCCAUUGGGCCCACCAAGGCCCAAUAACAAAUGGGCUCUCCCAAGGCCCAACUCUCAAGUCCAAGACACAUAUAUAAAUAUUCCCCUGGUCCAAAACCUUUUUGUAACAAACCUAACUCCAGGCCCAACGGUUAAGGCCCAAAAUGGGAUUUAGCCUGGAAAAGGCUCACAGUGAGACUACGCGGGGCGUACCUCCCUUGGUACGCUUAGCGUACACGCCAAUCUCGAUCGGGGGACUCAAUCCAGUAUGCGGGGUGUAAUAGACUUACGCGGGGAGUAAUGCUCAUGUCCAAAAACUCCAUUUCCGACGUAACCGCUCCAUCCCAAAGCAUCCAGAUCCCAUGGAAGCUUUGCUACAAGCUCAUAACUGAUAAAGUUGGUGAUUUAUCGGUUUGCAUGUCUUAAUGGGAACCAUCAUUCAUAAAUAACCAUUAAGACUCUCUUUACUCAUCUUAACACCUACAUUAGGAGUUCUAAACGACCAAUUUCUCAUUUUUAUGAAUCAAGGCAACCCAAUACACUUAAAAGGACAGGAGAUUUGCUCUGGAGCUCACCAAACUCACAAAGUUUCAAUCUUGGGACAUAAAACCCUAGAAAUGGACUCAAAACAAGAACUAGCGCAACAAUGAGCAAGUUUCGAACUUGAUACCUCUGGAAGAUGCACCAACAAGUGUAUAACUUAGAUCCAAAAGCUAGAUGCCCACGCUAUUCUCUUCCAAGGCUCUUUCUUCUUCCAAGGACAAACAUAACAAGUCUUCACCCCUCUAGAUCCACAUGAGAAAGCCACCAAGAUUCAAACUUUAUUCUUUCUGAAGCUAGAUCAAUAAGAUUAGGGCUUGGAUCCACAAGCUCCAAGCCAAGCAAUGCUUCCUCAAGGAACUCCUUCUUCCACCAUAUGCACCAAAAACUCACUAAAUCACCCAAAAUGCUCAAGAAUCACUCAAAUGGAGGCUUAAGGUUGAUUUCUAGGGUUUAGAGGGAUGGAGGCUGAAGAUAUUAGGGUUAGGCUAUGAGAUAAGGAGCUUAAAUAGGGUCCAAGACCCUAAAAUAGGGUUCAGGUCUGAUCAGCGUACGCCCAACAUACAUUUGGUAUGCCUAGCGUACUCCGAAGAACAUUCGUGACCACCCCUGGUCAGUACGCCCAACGUACUCCAAAGUAUGCCCAUCGUACUCCCUUCUGCACCAGUACGCCCAAUGUAUGCUUUGUGUACGCCCAUCGUAAUCGAAUAAGCUUGCAACCACCAAACUACUGAAGGCCAUAACUUCUUCGUUAUAGAUAUGUUUCCGACAAUCCUUAUAUCAACGAAAAGGUAACGAGAAGCCCUACACUUCUAUGAACUUUAUUACUCCUGAAGCCCACUCAAGCUCAAAUCCAAAAUUCAUGAAAAGCCUGCACUAGUGCCUUUAGCAACAAAUUUGGGCUCUAAGGCACAAAUCAAACCCUUUUAUCACACAACCGACCUUACCCAUAUCCCAAAAGGCCUAAACCUUUAUCCUUCAAAUCCUCAAAACCUUCUCAUACUUGGAUUAAGGCCCAUAGGCCUUAAAUCACAAAACAAUCCGGAACAGGAUGUUACAGAAAAUCUAGAAUGAACUUGUGUCUUAUGGCUAGAUAGUCAAUUGAGUGUGAUGAAGGUUACUGGUCUUUUGGUUCGGAAGCUGACGAUGAAGAUGUUGAGCCAAACUACUGCUAGAUGGCAACUAACGAUCCACCUAGUCGUAGUAUCAUCCAUCAGGUAAAAUCCAUGAUUACUAAUAAUAAUUUAGAUUUAUCUGUUUGUGAACCUUAUCUAACUCAAAUUCAAUCAAAUAUGACAGAUAUUUAUAAAACCUAUGAGUUUGCCAUAGAAGUUAGUGAGAAGAUGGAUAGUAAGUUGACCCGUCAUAGAUUACGAUUUGAAGACUGUAAGCUUAAGAUAGAAUCAUUAGAGAGAGAAAUUGUAAUGACCAAAGAUGAAUGUGUCAUUCUAAAUGACAAAUGUGAAAUUUCAAUUAGUGAAAUAAAUGUUUUGGUCACUGAUAAAAAAACAUCUUAAUGAUAAAAUUGAUGCUUUGCAUAAUUCAGUUGAUGUUCUUGACGCUAAUGAAAGGAUGACACAUAAUUUUGUCACCCUUGGUCCAAAGCACCUGGUCUCGGAAGCAAGUUUCCAAAACCUAUUCCUUACAGUUAUAAAAUUUAAUGUUGGCCUUCGAUUUGAAACUUGACCUCCCUCUGUUACCUCUACCUCUAUCUGAUGUCCUUCCUCUGCCUACGAACAAACCGGAACUGGAAACUUCUUCCCCAACUGAAACCUUUAUUUUUAGUUCCUUGGACAUCAAAGAAUCCUUCACAUCAUUCACAGUUAAAGUUUUCCUACCAUACAACAUGGUAUCAACAAAAUUCUCAUAAGAAUUUGACAGUGAACAUAAGAGGAUAAGUGCUUGAUCUUCAUCUUCAAUCUUUACAUUCACAACUUGUAGGUCCAAGAUGAUCAUAUUGAAGUUGUCCAGAUGACCCUUCACUUGGGUGCUUUCUAACAUCCUAAGACUAUACAAAUGUUGCUUCUAGUACAGACUGUUCAUUAUAGAAUUGUUUUGAUACUUGUCAUACAAUCUCUCCCAAAGCCCAUCAACAUGCGUUUGAUCCACGACCUCUCUUAGUACUUCGUCUGACAAAAUCAACAGAAUAGCGCUAUGCGCUCUUUUAAGAAUAUUCACCUUCCUUUCAGCCGCCAUGUAUUUAGGCAGUUGAGCUUCUCCUUCAAGUUCUAUUGUACAUCCUUAAUAAACCAUAAGAGCCUUCAUUUUCACCUUCUACAAAGAGAAAUCAUUUGAACCAUUGAACUUCUCCAAAUCGAACUUGUGAAAUGUCAUCUUUAAUCAACAGAAUACCAAUCACAGCUCUGCUACCACUUGUUAUGGAAAACAUGUGAUACAUGUCAAGACUUAGAACAAAUCUGAUGCCACUUGCCAAGUUUUGAUGACCCUUGUUAAGAAGUAAAACGGAUAACUAGCAAAACUAUAAGCACACAAAGACACAAUAUUUACGUGGUUCAGUUAAGGCAACCUACGUCCACGAGCAGGAGGGGAGUAUUAUUUAUAUAUGAGUUCUCAAACAGAGGUUACAAGUACAAUUCACCAGAGAUUUGUCCUGCUCACUAAGCAUACAAGAUACAAGACACAAGACACAAGACCUUUAAUGACUAAGUAGGCAUCCUUAUGUAUAGUUGAGAGAUCAGACCUAAAACCCUAAUAGGCCAAGCCUAUUGGCCCAUAAGCCCAUGAAUAGACACAACCAAUCAUAUUCCGCCAUGCAGCAUCUUUUGGAACAUUAUUUUGUGUCAUACAACCCAUGAGCAUCAACAACACUCAUGAUGGACCACCAUGAGUCAUAGUGGAGAAACAUGAUGUACAAGUGGCGCAUCCUGAACACUAAUGGCCCAACAUCCACAUGGUGGCACAACAUGGUGCAAUACUUGAGCAAUGCCAACUUCUAACCAUCCUUCAACGAUAUUGAGCAUCAUAGAGUACUUGGCUCAUCAGGGAUACCAUAACUCAUCAUGGAACCAAAAUGGCCCAUCGUGCACCAUGAUGGUGCAACAUGUGCAAGGAUGGUGCAACAGGUAUUAAGAGUGGCAUAAGAACUUCUAGGUUGGAGCAACAUCAUCACCUUGGCGCAACAAGGACAUGCUUGGUGCAACAAGAACCUACUUGGCGCAAAAAGGCUUCUUCAUGGUGCAAGAGGGACUCUCCAUGGCGCAAGAGGGAUAUGCUUGGCACAAGAAGCAAUGCCCUUGGCGCAACAUCAUCCCUAUUGGACCAACACUUCAUCAUUUCACAGAACAAGUUCCUUUGUUGUUUUGUAUCACUCCCAAGUGCUCCAAACCCUUACAGUUGCAUCAAACCCCCUUUUAUAUGAUUCGUUCCUUUAACAGUUGAUCUGUUCCUUUGUCAGACGAUCCAUUCCCAUCUCAGAUGAUUUGUUCCUUUGUCACAUGUUCCACGUGUUGGAUAAGGUGUCUAAGUCCAUAACUUAUUUGGUAUAUACUUCACCCGACCCGACAUGGUCCAUUUGGGUUGCACUUCAUCCAAACGAUUUAUGGAUAAUAUUAUGAGAAUUGUAUACUUAUGUUUUAUUAAUAUAUUAUGAGUUAUAAUAUAUUAAUAUAAAGUCAUGUUAUUUAACUAAGUUUUAAUCUUUAAAUUAAUUAUGAAUUGAUUUAGUGAUUAAAAGGAAGACUAAUUAAAUCAUGGGCUAUUAUAUUUAUAUGGUGUGGGCUAACACUCAUUUGGGAAUGGGGCUUAGCUUAUAUGGAAGUCCAUGGAGCUUUUAACCCAUGGAUCCUUGGAAGAGGAAAAGACAUGGGUUAUUAGGGUUUACCCUAAUCAUCUACACUAUAUAAACAAGCCUAUGGUGCAUGAAUUGACACCCUAGUGUGUGUGAGAAGUGGUGGCCGAUUUCUAGUGCAAAGUAUACACUUUCAUAAGUUUUCCAAGUUUGUGGUGAUUUGUGAUUUCCAUUUGAGGCAUUCACAUUAUUGGUGCUUGGCUCUCAAACUCCAAGGAAUCAACACUCAUCAAAAGGUAUGUAAUUCAUCUAGUUCUUUUAUGUUUAAAAGUUCCCCAUGCCAUGCUAGAUAAGUUAUAAACCUUGGAAAACAAUUUUGCAUGUAUUAUAGAAAAACAUAGAUCCAAGGUUUAUUAGGGUUGCAUGUACACAUAGGAAGUGUUAUAAUGCUCAAAACCCAACAGUGGUAUCAGAGCCUAGGCUUGUUUGUUUGAUACUUGAUGCAAAAUAGUGAAAAAAGUCGAUUUUCUUGCUGUCUGCAUGAUGAACUCGCCGAGUCCAUGGGGGGACUCGCCGAGUAGAAGCCUUAGAAUGCAGAUUUUCGACUUUUGCUGCUGGAAAUGGACUAGAAACAUUACCCUAAACUGUUUUGGUGUUUUAAAACUUUUUUUAGUUAGUGUAAUGGUUUUUCUAAUCCAUUUACAAUAGCUUAUAUCCAAAUUUCAUGCUUUGUAUGUGUUCAUAUAAUCCUUGAAACUUUGAUGAUGAUGUUCAUGUUCUUAUGAAUUUAGAAGAUGAUAGGAAUUAUUUGUUGAAUUGUUUAGGAUUAAUUCUUGAACAUUUAUGUGUUUUAAUGGAUUCCAUAAUUUGUCCUCAAGUUAUGGAUAUCCAAAGGUCACUUUCUUUAACACACACAUUUAAACACAUAAGUUACAUGAAAAUGAAGAGUCUUCAUUUUUAUGAACCUUUAAUUCAUAAGUUAUGAAAUGAAAAGUUUUGGAUAGUUACAAAACUUGCCCUUAAGUUUUGGAAUUUGUAAAGUUUCACACACUUUAAUAAACUUUAAUUCCAACCCUUAGAGUUUUAAUAGUUAAAAUUCAACACUUAUACUAUUUAUAACAUUAAUGGUUAAUUAUUAUAUAUAUGUAUAAGAAUAAGUCGUUUUACCGUUAGUAGGCCUCAUUCACGAAACCGGUCUAUAAGGGGGGUAUAAGGUUGUUGCCUAUAAAAUGGCAGCUUAAUGGGUGUCCACUCUCACCCACCGCUUCCUUGAUCGGUGGAGGGUCGUUAGCCAAACGGGUAGGACAAUGAAUUUAAAUUCUCAUUAAAAGUAUAAUGAUUAUUAUAAAGUAACUAAAUAUUUUAAUUCCUAAUCUUAGUUACUUUAGGAAAAAUGUGAACAUCGUGCUAGUCCAUGGAAUUCACACUUUGUACCUUACUAAGUCGUUGGUGGAGCGUGUUUGGUUAACCGGCACGCUAACUUUGACUAAUAAGGAUAACGAAGGGUGACUUAAUGUUUGUCAUAGAUCAAUGGAGCAUGUUUGGUUAACCGGCACAUUGGUUAGGUGAUAAUAUUAAGGGUACCAAGUGAAUUAGCAUGGUUAUUCACACCUUGUUUUGUGAUCCUCGACAUCCCAGUCACAAAACUUGAAGGGCACAAUCGAGAUUGAAACAUGCCAUUGAAAAGUUCAAUGAAUCUGAAAAGAAUCUAGGAAUUUCGAAUCCAAUUAAAACCUAAUAAUUCAUUUUGUUUUUCAUGGUGGGAAUUAGUGAAUCGUCAUUCACCUACCUUUCAAAU
Molecule: long non-coding RNA, 66441 nt
Filed under: Lactuca sativa (garden lettuce)
Lineage: Eukaryota; Viridiplantae; Streptophyta; Magnoliopsida; Asterales; Asteraceae
Description: long non-coding RNA (LSAT_LNC002551)
Source: RNAcentral